UGUGGGGUUAGGUUGGUUCAGUGGUGUGAAGUUGUGGUAGCAUCGUUCAAAGCUAAAAAAGCUAAGCACGAGAUGAAAGUUCCUCAAAACCCCCAUGUGAUUCUUCAUUCUUUUGCUUUUGCUUUGAUUCCUUUGCUUAACUGUUUUAACAGAUCUUUUUACCUGCUUUUGCCAACUUAUUUAUUUAUUUAUUUCGGUCUUUCUUCAUCUUUACUCUCUAAGAUAUAUAUAGGUGCUGAGGGUAGGGAAAGUUCCAACUCAUCCCAUGUUUUCUGAAAAGUCAAUCUAUCUUUCUUUUACUCCAUUUUCUUUUUCAGGAGCCACAGAGGACUUCUCUCUAUAUGUAAAAUCAAGUCAUAAAAUUUGGGCAUAUUUUAAUAAAUGCAUUAUAAUAUAUUUUUACUAAAAUGUUUUUCUUUUAAUUUUACAGGUAUUAUAUCUAUUUUGAUUAAAUUUUAUCAUUAUAGAUGGCUUGAGGAGUUUUUUUUUUUUUUUUUACUUUACCGAUGGUGUACAAGACAAUAAUUCAAAAUAAUAAAUAUAAAAUAAGAAAAAAAUACUAUAUAUGUAUUUGUAUUAAGAGUUGAAUUUUAUUUUAUCCUCUCUACUCAAAAAAUGGGUUAAUUAGUCAUGUAUGUUAGAUCAAAGAGCAAAUUGAUCUUUUUGUAAAAUAUUCUAUCCAUUCUUGCUACUAAUAAUUGGUCCAUAGACUAAUUUACUCUUUCAUCUAAUGUACAAGAAUUAAUUUAUCCGUUUUUUAAGUAAAGGUAGCAAAAUACAAUGUGACUUCUAAUAUAAGAGUUUUCAUGGUACUUCUAUUAUAUAAAACAUUAUAAUAUUAUGUAAAAUAUAAAGUUGAGUUGGGAUGUUUUUUUUUUUCAAGAAGUUGGAGGGCAGGUGGAUUGAAGAAAUCAUUUUGGGGUCGGAAUUGGAUGCUAUUAAUUUUGAGUUUAACUUGUUUAAUUUGGUUGACAUCCAUAUUUUUAUCAGUACGAGAAGACGUAGAUUUGAGUGCGUUGUAGUCCAUUAACCUUUUCCCUUAAAAACUUAGCUGUAAAGUAAUUGACAAAACAAUUUACUUACAAUAAAUUUGCACUAGAAUAAUUUCUUGACUUAAACAAAAUAGGUUCUCUUAAUCUCAAGAAUUCUGUUAAAUUGGUGUUUAAUGGCUUGCAAAAGUACAACUAAGGUGUUCAAAUUUCGGUUAAAAUCGAAUGAACCGACCGAAUCGAACUAAUUCGGUUGAUCUGUCAGUUAACCAAUCUAAUUCGAUCAGAGGGUGGUUAAUGGUUUCUUGGAAGUUCGAUUAUCGGUUAAUUCUGGUUGAAAUCGGAUAAUUAACCGAAUUAACCGAACUUUUAAAAAACCAAUAUUAUAUAUUACCAUUUCGGUUAAGGGUUAAGGGUUUAAAAAUUUCGGUUAAUUCAAUUAAUGCUAGUUUGGUUUGGUUAAACGAUUGAGCACUCCUAAGUGCAAUUAAUGUAGAUCUCUCUCUUUUUUUCUCUAUUCAAAAAAUAGUCUUCAAUAAAGAAAAAAGUGGAAGAGAUAUUCUCGAUAUAAACUUCUUUAAAAAUAAAAUCUCUUUAAUUAUGGAAAUUUCGAUCACAUUGAAAGUAUUGAUAAAGUCCUUACUUUGACAUGAUUCUUAUACAAUUUGCCUUCACUAAUGCACUGCCAAAAAAGCCUUCCAAGAUGCUCAAUUAAAAACCCCAAUAGUUUUGAUCAAAAGAUGUCAACCAGUAUGAUAAGUUACAGUUGUUUGCCAAAUGCACGUUAAAUUACAACUGGAGUUGCACCUGACAUUUAUAACUAGCACUAACAAAUUAAUUGAGUGUAAAUCUUUGAUUGCCUUCACUAUGUGUAUACUCAAACAUAUAUGUUGAACAUACAUCCAAUAAUAACAAAAAUAACCAACAAGCUAUUGGUUUAGUAAUAACUUGUACGUGGGUUCAUGUGUUGACAUGCAUCUAGGGUUUAAUCCCUAUGAAAUCCCUUUCGGCUAAAAAAAGGGAAAAAAAAACGUAUACUUUAACAAUUUUUAAGGUAUCUACUAAUUAUUUCAUUUAAUUUUUUAAUACCCUUCAUUUGUGUAGAAGGUUCUUUAGUGGAGAGAGGAGGUGUUGCAAGCAAGUAAAUAGAAUGCAUCAGGAGUAGCUAGAGAGGAAGACUGGAGCAAAUCUUAUAAAUUGAGCGUAGUAAUAGGUGGGGGCUUAUAAUGUGGAAAAAGGUUGCACGUGGCUUAGAAUAAGACUAAGUAUGAGAAUAGUUUAAAAGAGUUUUAGAGAUAGUUUUGGGAGUUAGAAUACUAAAAUUGUUAAAAAGUCCUUUCACAAGUUGCAAAAGGCUUCUAUUUAUAAUGUCUAAAAAUAAGAGUAUUAAAUAGGGGUAAUGACAAAUAUUGUAAGUUAUAAAGGCAUUAAUAUCCUUUUAAUAAUAAAUAGUUUAGGCUUAAUGGUGAAGGGUAAAUAAGGAAUAAGAAUUCACUAUGUUUCUGAAAGAAAAGAGAGAAUCACAUAAUGUUAUAUGAAAAAGUUAAGAAGAAACCUUUUAACUACAUCCUUAUUUGAUCCACCAAAUCGAUCUUCGGAACAUCCUAAGAAUCUUGCCUUAUUUUGAGGUUAUUUCCACUUCUUCCGUUUUUGUGAAGUAAUACCUUGUGAAACAUUUUAUCUAGAACAUCACUUGAAAUGCAAGCUAUUCUUAAUGAAGAAUUCUUCUUGAAUGAGAGUUGUUCCUGAAUAAGGGUUAUUUUUACUUAUUCCAAAAGUGAAUUGUUCUCAACAUAGCCAUCCUUAGUAGUGGUUGUUUCAAGCAAGAAUCGUUUUGCAAUGAUGCUUUUCUUUAAAGAGAUUAUUUUGAAUAAUGACUCAUCUUUAAAAAAAAAAAAGAAAAAGAAACUCACAAUUGUUCUAAAUAGAAAUUGUUUUGAAUUAUGGAUAUUCUAAACAAAAAUUGUUUUGAACAUUAGUUGUUCCCAAAUGACAACUAUACUCACAGCUAUUUAAACUAGAGCUUUAUUCUGAACAUAGUUAUUUUGAACUAGCUAUUCUUAACGACGAUUAUUUUGAACAACAAUUAUUUUAAACAAAAAAUGUUCUUUCGGAAAAAGAAUUAAGUGAAACAAUAUUUUUACUUAUUCAUAGUUAACCUUUUUAUCAUCUUUGGGAGUGCAAUUCACCUUAUUACUCUGAAAAGAGAUAAAAGAUUAGUAGUAAAACUAGUAUCUACAUUUUUUUUGUCGUAAUCAAGGUAUCUAUCGCUAAUGGCAAUGACUAAUCCUCUUGCCAUGGGUGAAAACGAUUAGUCAUAAAAUGUUUUAUUCCCUUGAGCAGAGAUCGAACCCUCAACCGUAUAAUAAAGGAUGAGAUGAGCAAUCACCACACUAUUCCUCAUAAUUAAAACUAGUAUCUACAUUUUAUCUAUCUUAUGGUUUCUUUUUGUGUUUUUUUUUCCAUCUUCAUAAGUUGCAGCAGGAUAUUUAGGGAGUGUUGUUAAACUGGUGGACAUUGUUGAGCACUUCAAAAAUACAUGUGGAUAAUACACAAUAUAAUAUGCAAUAAAAGUUAGCAAUGUCAAUUCAUAUUAGAGUGUCGGCAAAGGAAAUUUGUACGUGAAAGUGGUAAAAACAUAGAUAUUUAUGAGAGUGAAGGGGUAAAAAAAACCAUAUUAAUGGCAGUGCAUGGUGGAGCAAUGGAGCAAGAGGGUAUCUCAGUUGACUUCAACGUACGUUGCUUUCAAUGGGGGGAAAGGGGAAACUUAAUUUAUUUUUAUUUUUGCUAAAAAUUUAUUGAAGAUGGUUAAGAAAAGGACAAUACGAGGGACUUGUACAACAUUGAUAAAAUCUAAUUGUUGCAACAUUCAUAAAAAUUUGUUUUGGGUAAGUGGUGGGAGAGUCUAUCACCUAUCCAUAAGUCGGGUUAUUGGUUUGAAGGUUACUCGAAAUACAAAGGGUUUAGAUAAAAAGACGAUACUCACAAAAUGAGUUUCGGCAAAAAGUAGGCUGAUUAAAAAUAAAGACUAGACCUAAACUUUAAUAUUUAAGGCUCGAACUUAGCUCGACCCACCCAUUCUAUACUUUUGUAUUAUAUUUUUAUUUUAUGUAUAUAUUAUGUAAAUUAUAUCACAUGAAAUUAAAUAUAUAUCUAUGAUAAUACAAUACUAGGUAACAUUAUAACAAAGAUGUCUAAAUUUAAAUUUUUAAUAAAAAAACCAUAUAAAAUAUAAAAUAUUAAAUUAAAAAUAAUAUAUUUUUUAAAAAAAUAAUAUGAACGUGCCUAAAACAGAUUUGGAUUAACCAUUUAUAAAUCUAGGAAAAUUUAAACUAAAUUUUAGACACAUAUUUAGAGUCAGGUCGAACCAAGCUUAGACAAAUAUAAAAUGUGUUAAUAUUAUACAAUACUUGACUCACCCAUAAACACCUCUAACCUUUACUAAUUGAAAUUUGGGAAACUAUUGAGUUGCAUUUUAUAUAUUUCACAAGUAUGCAGGCUAGGUUUUGGGUUGGUGGCAUCCAUGGUUGAAGGUUUGGAAAUUUUAAAAUAUCAAGUUUGAGUCUUAAUUUAUAUAAAUCAUAUUUAGAUUUUUAGUUUAGAUUUGUUUUGAAUCUGAUAUAAACGCAUAUAUUUAACUAAUUUUUGUUUCGAAUAUAUUUUUGUUAUCAGUUCAUUUAUACAUUGUAAUGAUUGAUUUUGAUCGUAAUGAUAUAAACGUAUAUAUUGUAAAUAUAAGUAUAACUUUUAAGAUUAUAUAUAUUUAACUAAUUUUCUUCUAUGUAAAAUGCACAAAUUAAUUAUAUGUAUUAUUUUUAUUGCAUUACAUUAUUUAUUUACAAAGUUUUGAUAUUUCUUAGUAUUAAGUAUUUUUUUAAUUAAUGUCUACCACAUUGCAUAUUGAGAAGUUAUCAUAUGUCAAUAUAAACUAACGAUGUUAAUACGAAGAUACCAACUAGAAUAUAUACGCAUAUAUACAAAUAUGUAUUGUAAUGAUUAAUUCUGAUCGUAAUGAUAUAUAUGCCUAUAUUGUAAAUAUAAUUUAGACGUGAAGUAUAGAUGGAUAUUUAAGAGAGUAAAGGGAGAAAAAUCCCAUAUUAAUGGCAGUGCAUGGUGAAGCAAUGGAGCAAGAUAGUAUCUCAGUUGACUUGAACAUGCAUUGCUUUCAAUGAGGGAAAAGAGGGAAACUUAAUUUCUUUUUCUGCUACAAAUUUAUUGGAGAAAGAUGGUUAAUAAAAGGGACAAUAAGAGGGACUAGGACCAGAUUGAUAAAAUAUAGUUGUUGCAACAUUCAUAAUAAUUUCUUUUUGGGGAGACACCGUGGUUGAUUGAAAUAUGGGAAAUUAUUUUGUAAUAGUGUUGAAGUUUUUUAAAUUUCACAUGUAUGUCAAUGAGGUUUUAGCUAGAUGGCAUGGUCGAGGUUUUGAUAAUUUAAAAUUCUCAAGUUUGAAUCUCACGUUGUAUAAAUUAUGUGUAAAAUUUCAGUUUAGAUUUGUUUUUUACAUUUGAAUAUGUAAAAUUAAAUUAUUUGUAAGCACCAACUCCCUCAUAGACAAUCAUGGGGCUUUAGAUGGGCCUAAAAGUCUCAAAGUCAGCAGGCUCCAUACGCGUCAACUUAGUGGACCCACAUCACUCAAGAACUUGGCCCAUGCAUAUGAUUCAAAAUAAUAGUAUUGUUGUUGGGUCCAAAACCAAAUAAAGCUAAAACUAUGUUGCCUAAAUUAAAUAACUCCUACAAAAUCAUAGAUCAAUAUAGAAAAGAUGUAGAAUAUGCUUCGCAUUUUGGUUAAAUUAAAACACAAAUAGAGAGUGACGUCGUGAUAAGGAGUUUUGGAUGUCGCGACGACACCAUAGGGGACAUUGCAAUUUUCUUGAUUUUCUUCUUCCAGUCAAAUUCUGAUUAUUUGUUCUAGUCGAACUCUAAUUAGUGUAGAUUAUUUUAAGAUUAUUUGACUUACGAAUUUAGCCUAUAAAUAGGCCCUUUUUUCUACCCUAGAAAGAUUAACCCAUAACACAUUUAAGUAUUAGCUUUUACAAGCUUUCUGAGAAUUUUAUAUUUAAGUUUUGAGAGUUCUUAUUUUCAGGUUUCGGGAUUUAGCUUUUAUCUCCAUCUUUAUACUCUUCGUUUUUGCCGAUUUAGUGAAUUAUCUUUGCCUGUGGUUUUUACCCUCUUCGGAGGGGUUUUUUCACGUAAAAUUUGUGUAUUCGAUCUUUUCAAUUUUUUCGUUAUUUUUCUUGUUCAUUGCUUAUACAAGUUUAUCCCCAACAGAAGAGGUCAUUGUCAUCAUUUAAAGCAGAAUCACAUCUUAACCUAACUUAAACUUGAUAAACACAAACUCAAAAAUAGAAAUUUGAUUUCAUAAAUUUGAUAUUCCAAGCUUGAUACUAAAUAAUCAAUACCUACAAAAUACUUAAAAACAAAAAAAAAAAAAGAUAAUCAAUCUCCGCUUCAUCUCACAAGACACAAAGUUUUCAAAGCAAAAUCAAAGAUUCGUUACAAGAUCUAGCCAAAACAUCAAGUAAUGAUCCGAUCAAAAUUCCAUCAAAGAAAUAUUAUUUACAAUUUCAUUAUAUUACUCAAAGAAAUGCUCUCACCACUCCCAUUCAAGGACAGCCAAAAUGUCUCUAAACAUUAACUCAAAACAAGAUCCAAAGAAGAAAGUUGAAGAAUAAAAGAGAAGUUGUGACUAACCCUCUUAAAUCGCUUUAAGCCAAUCAAUUAUUACAUUUAGCUUUAACUACCCAAGUUAUCCAACACAUUUAUUUUGAUAGGAAUAAUACUCAUAAGGACUUUAAAAUAAAGUUGUAAUCAUUAAUUUCAAUUACUUUAUUUUCAUCAUGUGGUAGACAUUAUAACCAUGCCAUUGCCAACAACAUCCACAUGGUACCAUGGUCACAUCUCCCCAUUGCCCACCCAUACAUUCAUGGUUCCAUUUUAACUACCCUUUCCAUGACAUCUAUACAACUAUAUAUUAAAGGCACUAAAGCUUUUCAAUUCUAAUUUUUUUUUUUUUUACUUUUUAGAUUAUAAGAAUGGGUAAUUUCCAAUAUGAUCCCUAUAUUUUAUUUAAAUUUAAGAUUUAAUCUAUAUACUUUAAUUUUGACAUAAUUUAAUAUCUCAAUUUUUAUAAUGCCAUUAGUUAGCCUAAAUAUUUUAUUCUAAUUAAAAUGAUUAAUAUAUGAAUUUUUAAGAAUUGUUAGCACUCUUAAAUUUUUUUAUUGAAUUUAUGUCUGUUACAAUGUUUUUUUUUGUUACAUGCAUACCAAGUUUAUUUUAUUUUUUCAAAAUGCCUAACCAACACAAAAGAAUUUUAACAGUAUUAACAAAUGGACCUAAAUUUUUAAAUUCGAAAAGCAGAGAAACUAAAUUCCUGAAAAUAAAAAUAUAAAGAUUAAAUUCUAAAUAUAUGAAUAAUAAAAAAAUUUGAACAGAUUGUAACCUUUAAAGUUUUACGCUAUAAUUUAAUUAAAAAAUAAAUAACUUAAUUGUACCCUUUGGACAAUAAUUUGAGCAUACCUUCAAAAUUGCUCAAGAUUAAAUGUUGACAUUUUGACUUGAUCUCCAUAAUUGUUUUCUUAUAAGCAAAUAAAUGGUGGUCGAAUUUGGAUGAUUGAAGGAACUAUGAGAUCAUCAUGCCCUUAUCCAUUAAGGCUUACCCUCAUCCUUAUUCUUUAAACAUUAUCUUAUGAAUUAUGCUGAUGAAUUUUCUUAUAUAAGAUUGUAUUUUGAGAUGAAUUUUGGAGGUUUUUAUCUCAAAUUAUUAUGCAUUAAAUUGGUGAUUUUAUCUCCACAAAAUCUGCUAAGAGGAGACUUUUUUACUAGUUUAUAAAUAGACUGCUACUUCCUCGUUGAGUUAUUUGGGUGUAUUUAGACACUCCUUGUUCUUUUGUACUAGCAUAUAAAUACAGUGUUGAUCAGCUUCCUCAUUUAAUACUGUAUGUAAUGUGAGUUAUUUGGAGAGAUUAAUUUGUUUGCAGCUACAAUUAUUAUUGCGAGAGGUUAGAUUGGGCUUUUGCUAAUAGUUAUAUCGGAUUAACUGUUGAAUAAAAUUAUUCUUUGAAUGAAGCUUGCAAAUAGGAUUUGUGAAUCCAUAUUGAUUCUUUAUUUACUUAUCUUUUGUCUCAUGUUUUGAAUUUGUGUUUAUUUCUCUCUUUAUUUUACUUCUUUUUUUAAUGUGUUUAAAAGGUUUUCUUCGAACUUCUAUUCAAUCAUCUAUUUGAAUAUUAAAUUAAAUGUUGAAUGAUAAAAAAACCCGAAAAAACAAUUUAAAAAAAAAAAAGAAUGAUGAGAGAAGGAAGUAGGCAGCCACCAACACAAAAUCCCAUACAAAAAGAAACAAUAGAAGUCCCUCCAAUACAAAUGAAAAAUAUAAAAGCUCCCCUCAAAAAAAAUCUCCCAAAGAAUACAAAUAUAUAUAAAUAAAUGUAAGCUCAAAUAUGCAUAGUAAAAAGCCCCAUCAAAGAGACUUAAGCCAGUAACAAUAUAUAAUGGAAAUUAAAACACUGAAAACAAAAACCAUAGCUAAGACACAAGUGGUGAAGAAAAGACUUCUUGGUUUAAAGCAUUAAACUGAGGAUACCCCAUCCAAUCACCAAGCUCCACACCAUCUUUCUUAUGGACCAUGUUUUCUGUACUCCACUCUGCAAUAAUCAAAUAACAUCUUGUAUUCAUAUUUUUUCCCACUAUUAUUAUAAUUGGAUAUGCAAAAAAAAAAUAGCUUCAUCCAUUGAAAGCUAAACAUGUUUUUGGAUAAAAAUAUAUUAAAUUUGAAAAAAUGAAUUUAGACUAUAAUAUUAAAAAAUAUUUAAAAAAUAAAUUGGGUUUUAGUUAAAUAUUUGAAGUAUAGACAUAGAUAGAAUUAAUUAAUUAUAAAUAUAGAUAAAUUUCAACAAAAUUUAUAGAUGCCAUUAAUAUGAUAUGUGUGUGUUGAUCCAACCUGAGGUCUAAUUAAAGCUUUCCAUGUCAGAGUUUACGUUAGAAUUUAGAACACCCUCUAUAUUUUUGCUAUAUUAGACAUACUUAAAUUUUAAACCCCAUAAGAGAAUAUGCAUAUACAUAUACAUAUAGAUAUACAUACCGUAUCGGUUCCAGCAGGGCCUGGUGAAGAAGCGCCGAGGCUGGGAGUAGGGGCCUCAUUUGAUGGAGACGGUGGGCUGGAGGCCGAAGGUGAUAGUGCUGGAGACUUAGCUUUGGUCUUGCUAGGGGCCGGAGCUGGAACCGUGGCAGGAGGAGAAGCCAAAGGAGCUGGUGGUGGGGUAGCUGGAGGAGGAGUAGCAGGAGGGGGAGAAGCAGGUGGUGGGGUAGCCGGAGGUGGAGAAGCCGGUGGGGGAGUUGCGGGAGGUGGAGUAGCCGGGGGAGGAGAAGCUGGUGGUGGGGAGCUAACGGGCGGGGGAGUCGCUGGAGGAGGAGUGGAAACUGGUGGUGGUGAUGAAGUAGGAGGAGGAGAGGAAGCUGGUGGCGGAGAAGUAGUUGUGGGUGUUGGAGGUGGUUGAGUAGUAGGUGGAGGUGUGGAAGCGGGUGGAGUCGGCGGCGCCGGCGUGGAUGUCGGAGGAUUACUAGGAGUAGGAGGAGCUUGGCCUAAAACGCCAGCUACAGCAAUGCAAAACAAAGCUGAUAAGAACAAAAACUUAUUAUUAAGCAUCAUAUUGGAAACAAUGGUGACCCUUUAAUCCUGCACACCCUCUCCGCUUAAACUACGCCCAGCCGUGCAAGCAAAUGAGGGAGAAGAAGAGGCAAGUAUGAGAAAUGAAAAGAUGGUGAUAUUUAUAUAUAGGAUAUGGAAAUUUCCAUAUCAUAUUUCAAUUUAAAAUCCCCAAAACAAAUACCAGCAUUUUUAUUUUAUUACUAAUGGGAAAAUUGCAUUACUAAUCAUAUACAAUAUUCUAUAUUAAUUUAGUGUAAUUUAAUUCUUUCAUUUUUUUAUAAUGUUAUUAAUAGGUCCAAAAUCAAUAUCUCCGAUCGUUAGUUGCUGUCAUUAAAGUGAUGAUACGAAAUUAUUUUUUUUACUAUUAUUCCAUCAUACAAUCAGAGAUAUAGAAAUCAAUCAAUUUUGUUAAACAAAUAAUAAAUUUCAAUCUGAGUCAAAUGCUUAAAGUUGUUAAAAAAAAUUCACGUCAUCACUUUAACAACAUCAACUAAUAGCGUUAUCAAUUUGUACUUUGUAGCUACCAAUAACAUUAUAAAAAUAAAGGGUCAAAUUAUAUAGAAGUAAAGGAUUAAAUCUCUAAUUUCAAUUUAGUAAAGGGACUAAAAUGGAAUUAAACCUAUUAGUGGGGGUCGGAGUUUUUUCCUCGUUUGGUGAGGUAAAAAAAAAAAAAAACCCUAGUGGGGCAUAGUUAUAAUGUCACUUUGAUGAUUAUAAAUGAUGCGUUAGUUAGUCAUACUUUAGGUAAAAAACUGUGAGGUGGGAUUAGUGUAGAUUGAAAAUUUUUAGUGAAGGGGUUAAUUUAUACCUUCAAAAUUUUGCAAUAUUUGGUAGUUCCAUGAAAUAUUCCCCGCUAUUUAUCAACUUUUCAAUCACUCAAAUAGGUUUUAAUUUAGUUUUGUUGUGAAAUUUCUAAUUCAAGCAUACAAUGAGUAGAUUUUAUUAUGGGUCGGGUCGGGUUAUUAUAAAAUUUUAGGUGUAACGUCCCGAAUUUUUGGGCCUAGAAGUUAAAAGAUUUAAGCAUAGGGGCAGUAAGGAGGCCACACAUAAGUGAUUAGUUGUGCACUAUAGUGAUAAGAAUGGGCUUAUUAGUCUAGUGGUUAAAUGGAGUGUUAAUUAAGUUCAAGGUUUUUGGUUUGAGUCACUAUGUGUACAUUUUGGGAGUCUUUUUAUUUUGUUUUUUUUUAGUUAGUGAUAAUAAUUAAUUAUUUUAUUUUAUUUUUAUUAUUUUUCUUUUCUUUUCCACGUUAGUUCUCUCUACUUCUUGGUUUUUUUUUCUUUUUGUUCUUUUUCCUUGGACUUUCAAUUUGUGCAUUCUCUAUGUUUUUGAAUCGUUUGCUUACAGAUUUCGAAUUGUCGCACCUCUAUCGUCUUCUUCGUCGUUCAAUCAGGUGAGGGAUUCAAACUUUAACUACAUUGUUUAAUUUUGCAAAGUUUACGUGCGGCUUUUCUUGAAUAUGUGAUAACCCGAAGGUUUUUGGGUUUUGAUCGUUGGAAGUGAGGAAAAUACGUUAUAUUGUGAUAUGUUCUUGAUGUGGUUAAGGUUAGGGACAGUUUGGGUGGCUAAAACGGUGUUUUCGGGGCUAAUUUGGGGUGGUUUCAUGACCUCUCCGGCAGCUACACGGGCGUGUGCCGUGGUAGACAGUCAUAUGGAUUUGGGAACUAGGGUUUCCAGGCCAAAUUGGAUGCCACACGGCCGUGUGGCCGAUUUGGGGAUUUUGUCGAAAUUCACACGGCUGUGUCCCCUAGGCACAUGGGCAUGUGGGUUUGGAAUUAGGGUUUCAGAGAUUUGAAGUCACACAGCCUGGCCAUACGGCUGUGUGGCUGAUUUUGGGAUUUAGGGAUCCCACACGAGUGUGUGUUUCGUAACACACAACCAUGUCUAGUUGGCACACGGGCAUGUGAGACCCUCACAUAGCCGUGUCUGCCCUGCACCUUAUUUUAGCGAAAUUGGACAGUGAGUUACACAGCCUGUUCACACAGUCGUGUCUCUGCUUCGCACGGGCGUGUGCCUAUGUCACAUGGCCGUGUGCUAUCCUUCACAAGGGCGUUUGAAGCCUCACACGAUCUGGAUUGCUCUACACGGCUGAAGCAUACGGGUGUGUAGCCCUAUCUCGCCAAAUAAUGAUUUUAGGUCAAAUUUAAGUGCAAUCGUGACUCUAUGUAUUCCAACCCUCGACUGAGCUCUAGUGAGGGUAUUUACGACGCUGAUCUGAGUUUGGAUAAUGUGUUAAUUGUGAUUGGUUAUGUGACAUGUUUGAUUCUGAACCCGGGUUAGCUGGGUGAGUGUGUAUGCAACUAGUUCUGUCUGACUGUUUGAAUACGUGUCAUUGAUAUGCGAGCUUAUUUUGCAAUUGCUACUGAAUUCAAGUUACGAGUAUACUUAAGACUAAUUUUGUAACUAACUGAUUGGAUGUGAGCGUCUACUUCUGAAUAAUUGUUUGAGACUAGUAUUCUGAUUGUGUACAUCUGACUGCAUACAUACAUACAUAUGCAUAAACUAUUUUGGGCGGGAUUUUUGAAGAGAAGGUGUUGUAGGCCAAUUUUGGGCCCGUUUACACUUUAGGCCGAACAUACAUCAAACCCAUUUACAAUUAAACCCCAGCAUAACCCACAACCCAAACCCAACAAAUAAACCCAAAACCAAACCCAAAUUUAACCCAAUUCAAAUCCCAUAGACCCAAACCCACAUGUAAGCCCAAGUUGUUAGACCCAACUAGCUUGAUUUAGGGUUUCAAAAAAACUGAAACCCUAACCUACCCCCAGCGCCGCCAACGUCACAUCGCCCAUGCCAGUCCACUUGCACUACCUUUGCUCCACUGUUCAACCACCACCUGCAAAACAAAAGAGCACGCAACAGCAGCGCAAAAAUAGGAAAUAGACAGUGUAUGAACAACAAAAUCGGCUAUAAAGCCGAAUGGAAACCAAUGUAAUAGAAAAUAUUUUCGGUUAUUUUCUUCAUCAAUACAAAAAAAUAGAUUUAAACAUAUACAAGCAAUAAUUCGGGGAAAAUCAAAACACUAGAAUAACACCAAUUGGGCAACCAAAACAUCAAUAUCAAAAGCCUAAGGUGAUUUAAAUCUUUUUAUUUUUAUUUAUUUUUGAAUCAUACAUACCUAUGUAUUUUCAUAAAUAGUAUAAUAAAAAGGAAAAUAAAAGAAUAAAAAAAAGAUAGGAAAUUUUUACCUUUUCCGGCCACCGUGCGACGGUGGCACACGGCGGUCCGGCAACCAGACGUGGACGGCGACCGGCCUUGUGGCCGGAAUUCGCCUCUCCUUCUCCCCUCUCUCUUUUUUUUCUUUGCUAUGCAGAAAAUGAAUUUUUUUUGAAGAUUUUGGCCUUUUUAUAGCUUCCUAAAACGACGUCGUUUUGGGGGUUGCCCUUUAACCUCAAAACGACGUCGUUUUGCCCUGGAUCAGGUCGACCCGACCCUACCCACUCAGGAUCUGAGUGUUUUUGCUCUUAGGGGCUAAUUGCGCACGCGGUCCUUCCGCUUUUUCUAUGUUUUUCAAUCAGGUUUUUUAUGUAUUUUAAUUUGGCCCUAUAAUUAGUUGCGCUUUCCAAUUUGGUCCUCAAUGCUAUUGCGCAUUUUGGGUGGAGAGGCUUAUUUCGUUUUAAGUCCCUCCACUAUUUGUGCGCGUUGAAAUAGGUCCCCUUCCCUUCUUUUUAUUUCAGUUUUUGCCCCAAGCCUUUUAUUUUUAAUUCGAUUCGAUCCUUUUUUUAAUUACUUUAUUAUUAAAAUUAAUUAUUUUAGUAUUAUUGUUAUUAGCACUAUUCAUGUACAUAUAUAUUAUCAUUAUUGUUACUAUUACUAUUAUUAAUCUUCAUAUUAUUACUAUUAUUUCUUUAUUUUUAUAUUAUAUUAUAUUAUAUUAUUAGUUUUUACUAUUAUUAGUAUUAGUUUUAGCUUCAAUUAAUAUUUUUAACAUGCAUAUUUAUAUACUUUUAUGUAACAUUAUUAAUAAUUAUUUUUUAAAAUAUUAUUAUUAUUUUUUAAUACAUGCAUAUAUAUUAUGUGUAUAUUCUUUUAAUAGACAUUAUGUAUAUAUAAUUUUAUAUAUUAUUUUUAACUUUACAUUAUGUAUAUAUUGUUAAUAUCAUAUUAUUCAUAUAUUCUAUUAUAUUAUAUAACUAUAUUAUGUAUGUAUUUUUAACACUAUAUUACGUACAUACUUUCAAUAUCAUUAUUAUUAUGUAUAUAUAUUUUUAAUAUAUAUAUGUGUAUAUUUAUGUAGUAUUAUUAAUAGUUGUUUUUAAUAUUAUGAUUAUUUCUAGUAUAUAUAUAUUAUGUAUAUACUUCUAAUACUAUAUAUUGUAUAUUUCUAAUACCAUUAUUAUUUAUAUGUGUAUAUGUGUAUGUAUUUAUGUAUCGUAUUAUAGUUGUUGUUUUUUUUGUAUCAUUAUUGUUGCUAAUAUAUAUAUAUCAUGUAUAUAUGAUUUUUUUUAUAUAUAUUAUGUAUAUAUCUUUAAUAUUAUAUUAUUUAUAUAUUUAUGCUUACAUAUUAUCUUACGUAUAUAUUUUUAAUAACUAUAUUAUGUAUAUACUAUUACUAUAUAUCUAUUUAUGUUGCAUUAUCAAUGGUUGUUUUUACUAUUAUUAUUAUUCUUAAUAUAUAUAUUAUGUAUACAUUUUUAAAUACUAUAUUAUAUACAUAUAUUUUUAAUACCAUAUAUGUACAUAUCAUUAUUAUAUCUAUUUUUACCCCUAUUACAUUUGUUAUUAAUAUUAGUAUAUAUUUUAUUAUACGUGUAUAUAUAUACUUUUUAAUAUAGUAUUAUUUUUAUAUAUCAUUAUAUUUAUUAUUAUACUUAUUAUUUUCGCUAUUGUUACUUAUUAUUUUAUUUUAAUAUUAUUGUGUAUUAUUUGGUAUACAUAUAUCUUUUUGUACAUAUUGUUAUUUUUUAUUAUACGUAUAUUAGUUUAUUAUGGUAUUAAUACAUUUUUACCUUUUUCUUUUAUUGUAAAUAUUAUUUAUUAUUACUCUAAUAUCCUAAUAUUAUAUUAUAAUACUUUUUAUUAAUCAUCUCAUUAUUUUGCAUCGUUUAUUUACUUAUGAAUUUUUGUUAACAUCAUCAGUUUUUUUUUAUCAUUAUUUUAGAAACAUUUUUAUUUUAAUAAAUAAUGCAACGUACCGAUUUUAACAUUAAGUUUGUGAUUUCAUCGCUAUGUUGGGUGAAUCACGUUGGCUCGUGUUAAAAACGGGACAUCCUUCAAAAAAACCAAAAACUUGAAAUUUCUCGUGUCUUGGUCGGAUCAUGAUUAAAUAUUAAAUUAAACUUGUAUUUUUGAAAAUUAAGACAACGCGUAAUUAACAAGAUACUAAUUUUGGGCGUCGUGAGGGUGCUAAUACCUUCCUCGCGUGUAACCGACUCCCGAACUCUAUUUUCCUCUGGAUUUUCACGUAGACCCAAAUUCGGCCUUCAUUUUUGUUCAAGAAUAAAUUUUCUUUUCUAAAAAGAAGAUUUAUUAGGUGUCUGAUCACACCUAGAAAAAAGAUCGGUGGCGACUCCUUUUCUUUUUAAAACCGAAAUUCCAUUUUCAAAUAAUCGCCUCAACUAGCGACCGGAAAGUGAAAUUUUUACGUUGCUACAGAAGGAAGAUUGACUGAACUGAACUGAUAGCUAAUAUGUUGCCCCUAAUACCCAGAGGGUCAUGGGCGGUCCCAAUACCCUGAGGAUCGUGGUUAAUUUGACUGUACUGCGGACUAUCGCACUGUACUGUACAGAACAUACAUCAGCACCGCUGCUAUCAUUGACUAAACUGGCAAUUUUACUGCAACCUAACGAUAUAGCGGUCUACCGCAUUGCAUUGUACCGCAUGUACGUUAGCUACGCUACGUACUAUUAUCUGAUCUGGCAGUUCAUACUGCAUGUCUGUACCGCGGUUCACCGCAUUGCACAGUACAACCUAUACGCUGGCUUUCCUACGUAAUUUACGUGACUAGCAGUUUAUCUGCAUACUGUUAGCCCAAAUUCCCAGAGGGUCGAUGGCAAUCCCAAUACCCUGAGGGUCAUGGACAAUGCUGAUGAUCAUCGUUGUCGGGUAACCCGGGAUGACAUCAUAUGGGGUGUAGGGUUGGAUGGGCUUUGCGAGGUCCUGUAUGGAGUGUUUGGUGGGACAAGCUUAAAGCUUUUAUGAGAAGUGAUGGGGGACGGAGAGGUGUGUUGGCUGGAUAGGUGGAUAUUUUUAGAACUCAUUUGUACUCAUAUGUAUCUGAUUGAUCUGUUUAACUGAAUUGGAACUUGUGAAUGGUUGAGAAUUAUUGCUACUGUGACUGAAUGUGAUACUGUUCGAUUGAGAGGCACUUGUGCCUAUGUGAAUUUUGUAGAUUCUGAUUGCGACUGUCUGACUGGAUUCUUACUGUGACUGAUUAAGAUUUGUUGCUACUCUGUCUGAGUGGUACUUGUGGCUGAGUGUAUCUAACUGAUUGAGUUAAAACUAGUGGCAGAAUAGCACUAUGUUUGUGUAGCUGAGUGUAAUUUUUAAUAUGCAUUAACAAAUAUCUGUCUGUCGGUACGUCCGUUUCGAACGUACCCUUUGGUUCUGAAUAGCUCUGUAAGUAUGUUUUAUUUCUGAACUGCUUUUAGUUCCCUGUUUCUGUCUCUGUAGUUUAACUGGUUUGAUCUCAAACUGAGCUCGAGUAGCUCACCCCCUCUUUCGUUUCCCUUUUCAGGUACAAUUCUGGAUUAUGUUGAUGGACUUGGCACGCGAAGGUCUCAGACAGUCUCGCAAACAAAUAAAUUAUCAGUUUUGUUUUCCGUUACGAUUUUGUUAUUUGGUUAACUUUGAACUGUAAGGCUUUAUAAUACUGUGGUACAGUUUCCAUUUUAGAUUUUCAUGCAUACGUUUAUUUUGGGUUUUAUAUUGAGUCUUACUGUAAAUUUUAUUGACUGAUUAUUAAAUGGUUUUAAACACUUUUGGUUCACUGAGAUGAGUUAUUUUGUAAAAUUUUCCUACGAUCACUUCGGUGAUCAAUGUAGCAUUCCGAAUUCGGUCUAGACUUUUAGGCCGAGUUUGAGGUGUUACAUUAGGUUUAUUUUUUAGGUUCUAAUUUGACUCGAAAAAUAGGUCUAAAAUUUUAACUAAACCCAGUUUAGAUAAAAAUAUUAAACCCAAGUCCAAACGUAUUAAACUUUUUAUAUUAUUAUUUAUAAAAAAACAAAUUUAAAAAAUAUAAUACAUCAAAUACACUAAAAAUAUUAAAAUAGAUGUUUCCUAAUAAAUUGAAAAUACAUUAAAAAAGUUUUUAUACUUAACAAGCAAAUGCCUUUAAAAUAGUAGCAAAAUUAACAAGCCCAUGAUUAGGUCUAAUGAUGAGUUCUUUUGUUAGUAAUGUUUAUUUUGGUAUUUGAGUUUUUUCUGUCUUAAUUUGGUACUUAAUUUUGACUUUAAUUUUUUUCCAAUUAAGCACUUAAGUUUGGCUUCAAUGUUCAAUUUGGUACCUAAUUUUUUUUGUCCAAAUUAAUUACCUAUAUAUUUUUUACCAAAGCAUGUGUGUCAAACAUUUAUUGGAUCAUAUGAUGACAUUUGGCUUAGGUAUCAAAUUGAAUAUCAAAUUCAAACCUAAGUACUAAAUUGAAACAAAAAACACAAAUACUAACUUAAGUAUUAAAGCUAAACUCAAGUAUCAAAUUGUAUAUUAAUCAUUGGUAAACAAAAUUUCAAGGAUUAGCAUCUACUAAGCUUUCAUUUUCCCUUUUGCAUGUUACAAUUGAUAUUUGUUUAACGCAUAAACUUGGUAUCUUUUUUCCCGUAAUGAUCCAUUUUCAACAAUUUUUGUACACCUAUAUUAAAAUCUGAAAUAAUUUGGUUAUCUUCAACAUACAUAAAGCUGUUAUAUUAAAGUUUAUUUAUAGUUGAGAUUUUUAAAGGAUUUUUAUAAGAUAUUUUUUACACAUUCUUUCCAUGACAUUAAGGAGUAGGGAAGAAAACGUGGUAGUGUUAAAAGGAUCAGUUCAUCUAAACAAGCGGAAAGUCAAAAUAAGAAACAAAUUAAGGAGGAGUAGGGGACUCACACAUCCAUAACAUAUGCAUAUGUUAAUAUUAAAAAUUUACACAACGCAAUUGUAAAUGGUGAGACUUGGACUUCGAUACUUAAAGACCCAAGAUAUCGCCUUAACCAAUAAUGUCAACAAGAUCUCAUUAACUUUUUAGGAAUUUUCUUAACUUCACAUAUAGGGAUUAAAAAAUUACGAUAUAACUCAAUAUAAUAUUAAAGAGUAAAAGUUAAUCAAAAUUUACAUAUAUCACUCAUUUAAUCAUAUGUGUACAGAUAAAAGGAAGCCACUCAUCCUCUUGCCAACCCUACGUGUAACAUAAUUCACUAUAAAUUCCACCUACAUAUACAUACAUACAUAAAUAUAAAAGAGAAUUUCAUGGUCUUGGACUAGAUUGGCUACAAAAUUUGACAAACGGCAUGUGUAGGAGGAUUAAAUUCGAUGAAUUGCAUGAGAGUUUCUCCUUUUUGAUAAUUUAGUACAUGAGAGAAUAAUGAUGAUUGUGGGGGGGGGGGGGUGCUCCAUCGAAAUAGCUGGAAUUUAUUUAUUUUAGUGAACUGGCAAAUGUAAUUUGUACGCCAAGUUAUAAGGUGAAAAAGGGAGAAAUCAUAUAGAUUUGGUUGGUAAUGGUAUGUUGAUGUUGGAACACCUGCGGUGCACCGCCACAAUUAGUAGGCCCCUAGCCCCGCUGUCACCCCAUCAUAUGUGCUUUUGGAUGGAUCCAACAUUUUCGUGUUCUUUCAUUCUUCAACAUCAUCAUUAUUAAUUAGUUACUCUUCAAUUUCUAUAUGUAAUUUGCUUUCUUUUCAUUCAUAGGUUUUCUGUUUUCUGUCUUUGAUUUUGUCUUGUGCACAACUGAUGUCCUCCAUUUUUUUCCCCUUUUGUAGAAUUGGGUUUGUCACUUUAAUAGUGCCCGAAAUUAUUUUAUGGAUUUUUUUCAUCAUAUCAUUUAUAAUCUAUUUUUAGUUAUUUAAUGAUAUUUUAGUAAUUUUUUUAUGUUAUUGACACAUAAUUUUACUAAUUUUUUUACCCAGAACCCUCAAUCUUGAGUUUAGAAUCUUGAACCCCGAACCUUGAACCCUAAACUCAAACAUUAAACUCCAAACCUAAACCUUAAAUCUUGAAACCCUCAAGGUUUAGGUUUGAGGUUUAAGUUCAAAUUCAAGUUUGUAGUUCAGGGUUCGAGGUUUGAAAUUUAAGGUUCGGGUUCAGGGUCAGAGUUCAACAUUCAGGAUUCUAGGUUUGGGGUUUAAGAUAAAAAAAAAUUACCAAAAUUAUAUGUCAAUGACAUGAAAAAAAAAUUACUGAAAUGUCAUUAAAUAAUUAGAAAGGGACCAUGGAUGAUGUGGUGGGAAUGGUCCAAAAAUAAUUUCUCAUUUGUAUGGGAUAUUAUUCAUUAUCUAUUAUAAUUUGAUAUCUCUAUUUUUAUAAUAUUAUUAGGGGAAAGGAUUGUAUGAAACAGUGACGCCAUGUCAUCUGUAUCCCUUUCCAAUAAUUUUAUGCCAUAUCAUUACUUUUAUCCUCAAUUUCAGGAUUUUAUCCUGAAAAAAAUCAAAUCCAAAUUAAAAUCCUGAAAUUCAGGAUAAGAAUAUUGAUGUGGCAUAAAACUAUUGGAAAGGGAUACAGAUGACGUGGCGUCACUGUUUCAUACAAUCCUUUCUCUGUCCAAAUUUAUAACAAUGUUGAUUGCUUCACUAAAAUGAGAAGGUCCAAAAGAGUUAGAAGAUGUUAUUGAGAUUAAUAAAGGAGUAAUUUAUUUCGAGAUAGAUUAAUAUAAUUUAUUUGUGUUUUUUAUUUAAAAAAAAAAGUAAAAGGACGUAGUAAAGGAAUUUUCAUGCAUCAAUAAUUUAUUAUUUAAACUAUGAAAUUUCAAAAAAGAAGAAAUUCAUGUUGAAAUUGAUACUAUCAAGCAAUUUAAAAGUGUAAAAAUUUCAGUAUCAGCUGGAUAUUUAAUGUCAAAUAAACUAAAGAAAUGAGAAACACAAGCCAAUUGUCCACAAUGAUUAACUUGUUCCUAAAAAGAAAGUUGUACAUAGACUUUGCUUAUAAAUCAAUCCAAUUUUUUUUUAUAUAAAAGGAAACAUAUUACAUACUUAUAUUGAGUUAUUUGUACCACAACCCACUUAAAUUAUGAUUUUAAUUUUCGAUUGAGUCUUAGUUCAAUUGAUAUUGGCAUUAUUAUCUGUGGAGGAGUGGAUUCAAGUGCGCUGAAACGCAUUAUCCUUCUAUUUAAAUGUUGGGAAGGAACUAUAGAUUCGAAAGCAGAUAUGAUAAGAACCUAUAAUAAAAUUAAUGUAAUGCCUCCUUUUUCCUUUAAAUCCUACUUAAAACACACUUACUUAUUAUUUGCUAAAAUAUUGACAAAUCUAUAAUUUGAAUUCGAACAUUUAUAAUUCAAUCUUGGUCCCUUUAAUACAAAAAAUGUUGGCUUCACCCUUGAUCAAUUUAGUCAUCAAGUUUUUUUUUUUUAACAUAAAUUUCAAUAUAGAUUCUUAUCAUAUUAGCUCUUUUUGAUACAAUGCUUAUAACUAUCCAUAGCCCUUCCCCAAUCAUUAAAUAGUAGGAUAAUACACUUUAACGUAUUCGAAUCCACAUCCUCUUCUACUGACAACAAUGUCAAUCAAUACAAUUUUAAAUACGAGUGUACUACUUAGAUAAUCAUAUCCAAGGUACACAUACUUUUAAAAUUUGAUCCACACACUUUAAAUAUACCCCACCUCUGAUCUAAUCUAGCAUUUAUCACCUAAGCUGACGGUUAGAGGAACAAAAGAACUUGAUUGAUAUAAUAUCAAUAUUUUAUAGACUCAAUCGUACCAUAAUUAUGGACGUUUUCGCUGAGUUAACUCUAUAUCUAAAUAAGUCAUGGUAAACAUUCAAUAUUAAAAAAGAUAAAGGGAAAGUAUAAUAACCCAAAACACCAAAUUUUGGUUGGUUUAAUUUGCAGCUUUAACCAAUGCUUUUGCAUGAUCCAUCAAUUAGUGAGGAUUUUGAUCUUAAUUGGAGGGUCCCAUUCGGUUAUUAAGCUCUUUUUCCACCCUCAUGAUUGCCAUAACAUGGGCCCUUACCGUUUUACUUUGGAUACCCUUUUAUCUUUGCUUUGCUUUGCUUUGAUUUAAGGUUUUAUACAUAAAUGGUCACUUAAACUAUACCUCAAUUUUUAGAUUUGUCCUUAAAGUUUUUUUUUUAUCAAGAGUGGCCCCCACACUAUCAAAUUUAUCUCAUUUUACCCAAAAAGCGUACAAUAUCCAAUAAAAAUAUUUAAAAUGUGACGCGUGUCACAUUCUUAUUGGUUAAUAUCAUUUUUUGAAUAAACAAAAAUAAAAUUAACAGUUUAGCGAUCACUUUGACCAAAUAAAAAAGUUUUAAGGACUACUUUAGGAAUUUAGAUAUAACUUAAGAGUUAUUUUAUUAAUAAAGCUUUGAUUUAUUCAUCAAUUAACACUGAAAGAGUUUUCCUUAAUUUACUCAAAUGGUCUUUUUGUUUGUAUCACCUAACAUUUUGAAGAACAUCCUUUCUCUGUGUACCUCAUACAAUUCGUUAAUACGAAAAUUUUAUGAUUUUUUUAAAAAUAAAUUUAAUUGUCACGUUGCAGGUUACAAAUACUUUUAAAUAAGGGCUUUUUUCAUACAAGAAUACCAAUUAAAAAAUAUCUUCAAAGGUAUAUCAGUUAUACUCAGAUCAAAAUGUUUAAACUUAAUUUAUCUAAUUUCUUCGGCAGGGACCUAACCCAAAAUUGGUAAAAUUAAAAUUAGAUCUUUAUAAUUUUGAAGCAUUAAAAUUGAAUUUUUUUUAAAUUGUAAAAUUAUAAAUUUAGCCCCUAAAAAAAUUAUAAUUCAACUUCAGCCUCUAAAAUUUUUUCCUCUAACUUCAUCUCCCCAUAAUUCAAUAUAUUUAAAAAAAUUUGUGACUGACAUUACCAACAAAAAAUAUAUUUAUAAUUAGUAUUUAAUAUACAAUUAAUGAAAUGUUUUAAUUCUAUAAGCAAUGUUCAAAAUUUUCAUAUAUCUCAAUUUUUAAUAUUUUUUUUAUUAAAUCAUGAAUGAAAUAUAUAUUACCUUUCAGAUUUUACUUGUAGAGUCUAAUAACUAUAUGACGCAUUAAAUCAUUAUACAUAUAUAAGGUCAAGUGGUCCAUAGGUAGCUUAGAGUACAAGGGAUUAAGUUGAGGGUCUCUUAUCAUUUUCCCCAAAUGUGAAGUGAUGUUAACUGCUUAGCUUUCUCCUCUUGCCCCAUUCAUUUUCCUUCCUUUCCACAAUAUAUAUUGUAUAAGUAUUUAUGGGUAAUCGAUUGAGUAUUUACUCGAUUAAUAUGAGUAUUAAUGUCAAUAGAGGAGGACGUAGAUUUGGCGCAUUAUUCUUCUAAUCAUGGGUUGAGAGGCUAUGAGUAGUUUUAAAUAUUAUGUCCAAAAAAAACAGAUAUGAUUAGAACCUAUAAUAAGAUUAUUUAAAAAAAUAUUUAUGGGUAAUCAGUUUAUACAAUUUCGAUUAAAUGUAUAAAUCCAAUCAUUAAUCAUUAAAUUGUUUUACUUUAUGCCAUAGUAUUGUUUUAACUGCAUAAGCAUGUGGGUUAAUGAAAACUACUUAUAGUAUCUCAAUUAAAUGUAAUCAACAACCUCAACUCAUAUCUCCCAUCUCUCUCACUCUCAAUUAUAUAACCUAUUAAUAAUUAACAUUAAUAACCCACUUUCAAGUAGAUCUCAGGCUACCUGCCAUGCCAAGCCUAAAGCUUAUAAGAUGCUUGAAAAGGUUUGCACAAAUAUACAAGAAUAAGUAGGAUAAUGGUUUGGGCAAAAAUUAAGCUUAAUUAUUUAAAUUAUAGAUUAAAUUUAUCGAUAAAUCAUGUUAAGCGUAAUGAUAAGAUAUAUUAUACUCUUAAGAAAAGAAUGUAGAUUCAAAUACUAGAAACGAUAUUGUUAGGAAAAGUAAUCACAAAUCUCAAACAUGAAUCAUAAAAUAAACAUAUAAAAUACUAAAAAAAAUCGAAUUUAAACUCAUUUAAAAUUGUUGAAACAUGGAUAAUUUAACUCAAUAUUGCAACAGGAAUUUCGAUAUAGUUUCUAUAAAAUUUAGUGUUACAAUAUGAUUUCCCAUAGAAGUGUGAUAAAAUCAAUAAUGUUGACUUGUAUUAUUGCAUUAAGUAGUGCAUGAAAUGUAGGAUUCUAUUGUAAAAGAGAAUUAGAUAAAAUUGUAUAAAGUGCAUACUAAAAACUGUUUUGGAGGCUUUAAAGAAUUCUAUUCGCUUAAAAGGUAAGAGUCUACUUCAUCAGCUAAGGUUUACAAUGUAGGGUAAGUGUUCAAUCGAAUUAAGUGAAAAAAUUUUGAGUUUAUCGAGUUGAUGAGUCCUAUUUUAUCAUACUAACUUGAUUUGAAAUUUUCUCGAAUCGAGUCGAGUAAAAUGAAAUUCAAGCCAAAUCAAAUCAAGUGAAAUUAUUUGAGUUAAAUUAAAAAAUUAAACAUGUCAAAUUAAAAUCUUGUUAUAGUAUAACUAAUUUUAUGUUAGAGCACAUAAAUUUGAAAUCACAUAUAUUUGAAAACUUUUUCAAAGUAAAAUAAGAAAAAAAAUAAUUUAAUAUAAUAAACUUAAAUUAUUAAUUAACUUUUAUUUAAGUCCCCAAAAUUAUUAUUUUAAAAAAAAUUAAAUUUUUAACUUUCUUUAUAUACUUUAUAAUUUUUUUAAAAAAAUAUAAAAUUUGGAAUUUUUAUAAAUAUUUUGAAUUUUAAAAAUUAUUAUGAAAAUUUUGAAAUUUAUUUUGUAUUUUUUGUUGAAAGAGAUCAAUUUGCUUUUUUUUUUAAAAUUAAUAGGGACCAAAAGGGGUAUUUAUACCAAUCUAUUAUUCGAGUUAUUCGAAUUGUAAAAUUCAACUUGACUUGAACUCAGAACUCGAAUUACUUAUUCGAUUUAAUUCGAAAAAAUUGAAUAAGAUUCAAUUAACUUAGAAUUCGAUUUUUAUUUUAUUUUUUUGAUCAAAUCGAGUUUUGUUCACCCCUAAUAACUUGUUAGCAACUUAUGCAAGAAUUUUUUAAUUUUAAAAUAAAAGCUAAUAAGAUUAUUUUAUCUUGAUAUUAAAUGCUAUUUAUACAACAUAUAAAAGAUGGUGGAUACACACAGUUGGGGUAGACUUUUUGAGUGUUUCAUUUUUCGGGUUGAGGGAAUAUUUUGCAAGGUAAAUACACCUUGAUACCCUAGGUAUUAUUUGGAGAAUUUUAUUCACUUGUAUGCAAAGAUGUUUGCAAUAUGUGAUAAUAUUUUGGGAGAUUGGAUGCAAACAAUUGCAUACUAGUGAAACUACUUUUUAUCUACAUUUUGCAAGAUAGAUACAUUAUAAUUAGAGGUGUCCAUAAGUCGGAUUGGAUCCAAUCAAAAUUUUAUACCCAUUUGUCAGGCUAAAAAUAUUAAAAUUCGAGUCCCAUCUGGCCCGUUCGUAUUAAUUUUUUUAUAUAAUUUUUUAAAAUAUAUAUAAUACAUCAACAAUACUAAAAACAUUAAAAUAAAUGUUAAAAACAUUAAAAUAAAUGUUCCCCAACAAAUUGAAAAUAAAUUUACAAAUUGAUUAAUAAAUUUUAAAAAAAUAUGUAUACUUAAAUAACACUAAGAUAUGUAUAACUUAACAAGCAAAUACCUCUAGAAUAGUAACAAAAUUAAAAAUAAAACAACAGUAAUACAAUAUCCAAAUAAUAACAAUAAAAUAGUAGCAAUAUAAUUGUGAAAUGGUAGCAAAAUAAUGAAAAAGAAGAAGAAAAAAAAGAAAAAAAUUACAAUUCUUUUAUUUUGCAUAUUCGGGUCGGCUAUUUUCUAAACGGACCUUAUUUUUCAGCCAAAAAAGUCUUACCUGAGGCUCAACCCGUUUUCUAAACAAGCCUUAUUUUUUUGCCUAAACACAUUUUUCGGGCCUAUAUUUUUAUCCAAACCCUCCCACUUUUCAGGUCGGGCCACAUGUACAGGUUUAACCAUGAUAUAUUAGGUAUUAUUAUAAACUACUAAAUACUAAAUAAAAAAUAACAUUUAAAAUUAAAAAAAUGAAAAGAAAAAAAAACUUAAAUGAAUAUAUACAAUGUAACAAGGUACAUAAACCUACAUUGUGACAAGUGUCGCAACUUUAUUUUUUUAUUUAAUUUCUAUAUUGUUUAUCUAUUAAAUAAAAUUAAAAUAAUUUAAACACAAUUUUAUCUUAAUGUAUUACAAAAUUUAAUUAAAAUAAAUGAAAAUUGUUAUUUGGAAUAUAUGGAUUUUAAAAAUAAUAAUAAUUUUCAUUUAAAUAAAUUUUACAAAUAAUAUAUAAUGCUGAUUAUAUAGUUUUAAAUAAUAUUUUAAUAUAUGAAUUGUUAUCUACAUAUUUAUUUAAAUAUAUUACAAGAAUUAAAACUAUUUAAUAACAUAUUCAUCAUAAAAUAAAACGAGAAUUAUAAAUUAUUAUUAUUAUUAUUUUAAAAUAUUUAUUUAAAUAAAACUAUAUGAGCAUAGGUUGUAACAUUCUACAUAUUUAUAUAGGUAAACCAUCAUGAUAAAAACUAUUAUCAUAAAAUUUUGCACUUUUUAUUAUAUGAUAUGUAUAAAAUAGUUCAAUUAGAUAUGAUUAAUAAUAAUAUUUAUGCUCAUAAAAUUAUCAAAUUAUAUAUUACAAUGUAUUUAUAAUGGCUCAAAUAUUAAAUAAUGGUUUACGGGUUGUAAUAUAUAAUAGUUCAAACAUAUUAUAAAUUUGAAAUAUAAUAUAUAUUAUAUUGAAUUAUUAUUAAUAGUAGAUAAUACUGUUAUAAUAAUUUAUAGUAGUAAAAGUAAAGGGUGAGCUAACAAUUCAGUGUGUAACUCAAUCCAAACAAUCAGCACAAAUACAGAUACAGUAACAAAGAUGAAUAUAGAUACAGAUAUAAAUCCUACUUCAUCCACUACACACCAUAUUUGUUCAUCCCUAGACAUCAAUUAGAGUAUUAAAUACUCAUGCAACCUUACCCACCUAGAAGUGAGCGUAUGUCACUUUUCAGAACAGUGCAAUCAAGCUACCAGAAAUAAUGUAAUAAUCCGCCAGAAUUAGAUAAGUGUGGUCAAGCCAUCAGAACAAAUAUGUGGUUUAAACCACCAGAUAAGACAGAUCAUUAAAUUGUUAACACUUCCUCCAUCAUAUUAUUAUCCCACCUUAAUGCAUAUGCAAACAUUAAUCAGGUAACAAAUGCAUAUAUAUCAUACACGCUAUACGUAUCAGAAUAUACUAUCAUGCUUUUAGAAAUUGCACAAACAGAAUAUUAGAUUUCAUAUCUAUAAGUCAUACAUAACACAUUAUGAAACCUACAAAGUGGCUAAUCUCGAAUCGUACUUUAAAUACGGCCUAACUAAAUUUUAUAGAAAAUGAGCACACAUGCCCAUGUGACCCACACGGUCUGGCACACGGCCUCACACAUACUCAUGUGGCCCACAUGACCCACUUAACUUAGCCCAUGUGGCUCACAUGGUCGUGUGAUUUACACGGUCUGGCACACGGCCAUGUGGUGUCGACAAUGAAUUUUUUGGCUUCGCAUCGUUCAUUGUUUUUCGAGAUUAUCAUUACAGACUUGGUCGUUUUUCGAUACUAACACCACGAAAAAGAUUCCAGAACUUAAAACAACAUUUAACACGAACAAUUUAGCAACGAUACACUAAAUAUAAUCCAUUAAUUCAACCACAACCACUAACAUUAGGCCUUAACAAGCUGGAAAUCAGUCUUUUGGGCAUUCGAUUACUUACCCAGAACAGUAGUGACAGUCCUAAAAAUCUCCUAAUUCACUAGAAGGAUGUCACAUGCCUCACAAACUUCUCCUAUUGAAACAUCAAAACAAUCAAAAAAAUGAAUAUUGCAUAAUACUACAACCCCUAUUCGUCAUACGGAAACGAAUUAACCUUACCGAAGAAUGCACUUACAAGACUUACACUUAAACAAAAAUAUGAAUUCUUUGCUCGAACACGGCGCUACGGUGAUUACAUGCAAGAAAAUCAAUACCACAAGGAUUUAAACAUUGGACCUCUAGGUAAGCUGAAGUUUUACCACUAAAUCAACAAGCUCAUUCUUAUCAUUAAUUUAGCAAAAAUAAUAUAUAAGCUUAAUAUCCAAAGUCGGUGGUUGGGACAAAAAUAACAAAAAUUUAAAUGAAAGAAUUUGAACCUAGAACAUCACACACACUAACACAACACAUAACCAAUAAACUAAAUUAAUCACUUUAACAAUAUUUAACAAUUCAAAAAUAAGAAUUUUGAGACGUUGCUAAAUUGUAUCAUAUAUCAUAUAUCAAACUUACGAUACAUCAUUCAUAAAAAUUAUAACAAACUUACGAAAGGAUUUAAUGAUAUUUAAUUCUUAACGGGUAAAAACUUAUAUCAUAUAUCAUAUAUAUUUAUAUAUUAAGAAUUUGAAUCAUUAAUUAUAUAUCUAUAUAUUAUAAUAGUUUCAUCUUUCAAAUUUUCUUCCUCAUAAUUAAAGCAUAAGUUAUAUUUAUAAUAUCAUAAAUAUAUUAUAUUUCAAAAAUUUACACACAUAAUCAACCUAUACAUCGCUCGUGAUAAGAAAACUAAUUUAUAAAUAUGAAUGUACAAAAUUCGAGCUAAAUCUAGCUUCAAUUUUCCGGUGAACUUCUUUUGACUUUAAAUCUUACUUUUUCUUCUUCUUUUUGGCAAAAUAACUUAUUUGGCACAAAAACAAAAGUCGUUUUAACUUUUUUUUUCACCAUUUUUUAGCAUUUAAACUUGCAUUUUUUUGUUAAAUCACUCCAAAAUGAAUGGAAAAGUUAACAUUUUUAACUUUGCUGAUGUUUCGUACAUGUGGAUAACACAUCAACAUUUAAUAAAUCUUAAAAAAAUUAUAAAAACUAUUUUUAAAAUUUAAAAUAUUAAUAUUAUAAAAAAAUAUAAAUAUUUUUAAAAAUUAAUUAAAUGCUGAUGGGUCAUCUACGUAGCAAUCCAUAUGUAUGUCAUGUCAACAAAGUUAACAAAUAUUAAUAUUUUCAUCCAUUUUAGGAUGAUUUAACAAAAUAUAUAAAUUUAAAGACUAAAGAUGCGAAAAUAAUUAUAAGACCAAAAUGACUUUUUUUUUUAAUUGAAGGACGAAAUAAAUGAUUAUGUAAAGUUGUGAAUAUUAAUAUUACCAUAACAAUCAUAAUUCGCUUAUGGUUUAUUCAUUUUUAGGGUUUUCCUUACUAGGAGUCUAGGAUACUUGAAGGCAGAUAUUAUUAUUAUUAUUAUUAUUAUUAUUAUUAUUAAAUUUAAACAUAUUUUUUUAAUUAAGGAACAAUAAUUUGGUCCGGGUCGGUCCUUGGACAGUAUUGUAAUUUCCCAAGUUAUUAACAUUUGUUUAGGGUUUCUCAUAGUUAAGAAUUAAGUGGGCUAAUUUCCCAACUUAGAUUUGAUGAUACGAUUAAAAAAUAGGAAAUAUCAAAAUAUGAUCAUAUGAAUUAUUAAUACUAGUUUUUUUUUAUCUGAGUAAAUAGAUAAUUACUUGAAUCAAUUUAAUAAAAAUUAAUAUACUAAAAAAUACAAUUCCAUCAUUUUAAUAGUUUAUAUAUUUAUAAUUUUUAAAGAAUUAAAUUAAUAUUUUAUCAUUUUAGGGAGUUAAAAUUUAAUUUUACUAUUAUUAAUUUAAAAUUUUAUAAAUUAUAUGUACAUACCCAAUUUUGCCAAACCCAAAUACAUUUCAAACCCUUACUAACCCAAGUCUGUUUACAAUAUUUUCAGCCCAAUUAGCCUAACCCAAGUACUACUAGCCCAAUACCCUAAAUUAACCUAGCCCAGCAGCCCAAAACAAAUUAGCAGAGAGGAAACCCUAAUUCCACUUGCCUCCUUACUUGCGCCGCACGCUCUUCUGCCCUUGGCUACCACGCCCCACUUUCUUCUGACACCAGCACUGGCCACCUGCUCCACCAUGCCUCUGCCACCGCCGUUCGCCCAUACCCUGCAAAAUGAAACAAAUGCCAAGACAGAAGCAGACAGCACAAGCAGUAACAGAGAAUAAAACAAACAAUACUUUAAUAUGGGAAUCGGCUAUAAAGCCGAAAUGGAAAAUCUGUAAAAGGGGGGAUUUUUGCUAUGAAAACAAAGAUUUUCUUUCAAUUUUAACAGAUUGAAUACAAGAACCAUUCGAAAAUACAUAUACAAUCAGGGGCUCUAACACCAAAUCGGAGAAUCAAAUCUAAAACCUAAGGUGACUUUUCUUUCAUUUUUUCUUUACUAUUUUGAGUUUGUUUUUUACACAAAAAUACUAAAAAAAAUAACAAAACACAUAAAAACAUAUAUAUUAUUAAGCAAAAAAAAAGAAAAGAAAAUUUACCUUUUCCGGCCACCGUGCACGGUGGCCGACGCCGACGAGUCUCCGGUAACCGUCCGGCGACCGGACCCCUGGCCGGAGUCCCACCGAAAAUCGCCCUCUCCCUCUCCCUCUCCCUUUCUUUUCUUUUUUUUCCUUUCCCCAUCCCCAAAUGAAUUUUUUUUUAAUUUUUAACUUAUAUAGGGGACCAAAACGUCCCCCCCUUUAAUAAAUAAAACGACGUCGUUUUGGACGCGGGUCGGGUCGACCCAACCCGCACCAGGGCAGGAUCCGCGUGUUUCUUAGCGGAAGGGAAAUUUGCGUGCUCGGCCUUUCCGCUUUUCUGAGAUUUCACAAUUACGUUUUUUAUGUUUUGUAAUUCGGCCCUAGAAUUUUUCAUCGUUUUCAAUCUGGUCUCCGUGCUGCGCAACGUUUAGAUAGUUGGGAUUAUUUUCAAUUUUGGUCCCUCCAGGUUGCGCGUGCCUCACAUUUUGAUCCCUCCUCUUUGUUUCCUUUUUAAAUUGACCCCACAACAUUGUUUUUAAUUUAAUUUUAGUCCUUUUUCGUUAUUUUUAUUUCCUUAUUAAAUACUCUUAUUAUUUUUAUAUUAUUAAUUUUAUUAUGUAUUAGUUUAUGUUUUAUUAUACAAUUAUAUAUUUAUAAUAUGUAUACACGCUUAAUAUAUUUGUAUAUACUUAUAUAAUAUUAGUACUAAAAGUUUUUAUUUUAAUAUGUAUAUAUUACCUAAAUGUUUAAAAUUAUAUAUGUACGUAUAUUCUUCAUUAUGUUCUUAAUACUAUACUUUACAUAUAUCGUACAUUUUUGUUUCAAGUUUGCUUUCAUGUAUUGUUUAGUCAAAAUUGUUUUAUUACUCAUUUUAAAAUUGUUUCACAUACUUUGCUUUAAACAUUAUAUCUCUUUCAUAUUAUGCACGUCAUUUUUAACUCUAUAUUGUAUAUCACAAUCUCAUAUAUUAUGUAUGUACUUCUCAUAUUAUUAGUUAUGUAUAUAUUCUUUACAUUAUCUUAUGUACAUAUAUUUUUCAUAUUAUAUUAUAUACCUAUCCUUUUGAUACCAUGUUGUAUAUAUUUUCAAUACUAUAUUACAAAAAUUUUUACCAUAUUAUGUAUGUUAUGUAUAUACGUUUUAAUGUUUUUGUAUUAUCUUAUAUGUAUAUUUUAAUAACUAUAUGAGGUAUGUAUUUUUAACACCGUAUUAUGUACAUAACUUUCAACAUCAUUGUAUACACACUUUUUAAUACUAUGUUAUUUAUACGUUUUUAUAGGUAUCGUGUACAUGCUCUAAAUACCAUCAUGUAUAUAGUUUUUUAUUGUUACUAUUAUGUAUACAUAUAUAUAGUAUCAUUAAUAGUUCUAAUAUCAUGCUCCCAUCACUUUGCUAACUAUUAUUAUAUGUUUGUAUAUAUUAAUUCUUAUUUCGCGUUUAAUACUAUUGUUAACAUAUUUAAUAUCGCAUAUAUGGCCAUUGUUUUAAUAUUCUCGUCGUAUUUAUCAUUUAUUUCAACAUAUUUCUAGCCCUUCCAUUUGUUCACUUUUAUUUCAUAUCAAUUUUGCUUGGCAUUUCUUCGAAAAUCUUAUUCUCGUUUUCUAAUUAAUUUCAAUAAUCGAGGCAACAUAUCGACUUAACAUUAAGUCAUCGAGUUCAUCGCUAUGUUGGGUGAACGUCAAUUGACACGUGUUAAAGCGAUAUACCCUUCUCAAAAAACGGAAUAAACUAAAAUUUCUCGUUUUUUAAUCGGAUCACGACUAAAUUUUACAUUGAACCCGAAUUUUUAAAAAUCAAGACAACCUGUGUUUAUGAGAUACCAAUUUUUGGGCGUCGCGAGGGUGCUAAUACCUUCCUCGCGUGUAACCGACUCCCGAACCUUAAUUUUUCUCUGGCUUUUAACGUAGACCUAAACUCAGUCUUUUUCUCGUUUUUAAAGAAAAAAGAAAUUUAUUAGGUGUUCGAUCACACCUAGGAAAAAGGAUCGGUGGCGACUCCCCCUUUUAUUUCAAAAUCGAACUUCAGUUUCCAAACUUUUUCACUAGAUCGCCACAAUUAGCGACCCCGAAACCAAUUUUUACGUCGCUACAUUAUAAAUGAGACUAAAUAGAAAAUUUUCUAUUUUAAGAAGGCUCAAAGACCUUGCCAGCCUCCUUGACUUCACCAUUGAAAUCUAGAAUAUACUCCUCACUAUGCUUUGGAAAAUUAAAGAUUUGAAAUUAUAUUAUUGUGUAAUAGAUAUAAUUAAUUUUUAAAUAUAUAAAUAAAGUUAAAGUUAAAAUUAAAUCACUGUGAUAAAUUGUAUAGAAUAUAGAUGAUUUAAGACAUGAUGCAAAUAAAACAUAGUUAAAUAAUUAAUAUAUAGCAUGCCAUAAUAAUAAAGGUGAAUCUAGAGGGUUCACAGGGCUUGAUUCUCCUAAAAUAGAAAAUUAUUAUUUAGAUUUUUUUAAAAAAUUUAAAAUUUUAAAUUAAUAAAAAUAAAAUUGUACUUUGAUUUCCCUAAAAUUAUAAAUUUUUUAUUCAAUCCUUUUAAAAAUUAUAAAGAUAUAAACUAUUAAAAAUUAAAUUUUCAUUUGGCCCCCUAAAAAAAUAUUCUGGCUUCGCCCCUGCAUGAUAAUAAUAUUAAUACAACACAAAUACACAAAAAAAUCAAAAUCUAUACAUAACAAUUAUUUACUUGUAUAAUUUUAUAAUAUUUUGAAUACAAAGAAAUAACACAAACAAUUUUCUCUAAAUUGAAUCACUCAAAUAAAAUAUUUUAAAUAUCUCAUGAUUUUAAAAUAUACUAUAAGGAUAAUUUUUUAAAAAUAAUUUAUUAUGAUAAAUCAUAUAAAUUAAAUAAAGAAACAAUACUAAUCCAACAUAAAAGAAAUGUAAUAAUAAUAUCAUAAAAAAUAUGUUCUUAGUUAAUGAUUUAGUCUGUACUUUGAGAAUUAGAGAAAACUCGAGUUCGAGAUUCAAUUAUAUAUGAGAAAAGUAUUAACAACCUCACAAUAACUUAAUACAUGUUGUUUUAAAAUUUUGAACCCAGUAUUUAAAUAUGAUCCCGUAAAAUUUAAGAAUGCAUGAAAUUUAUUAAUUAAGUGAAUUUGAUUUUGGAAAUAAACAAAAUACUCAAUUUAAUUUUAUUAUAUUUUUUAAAAUUUACUCACAUUAUAACAUUAAGAACAACAAAUGAGAGCGUAUCCAGUAAUUUUGGCAACAAUCUCUUUAAUUUUCGUAAUGCUAAAAUAUUACCUUUUUUUUUAAAAUUAAAUCGAUGUAAAGAAAUUCAUAGGUGCAUUUUCAUAUAAAUAAUUGAAUUAUUCAAAAUUACAUGCAUUUAGAGAUAAAUAUUUUACCCAGCACUACGCUUGUUCGACUCGUAAAAGGCAAAAAUUAGGAUUCAAAAUUAAAUUAUAAUUUUUAUGAUAAUAAAAAUUACUUAGGACAUCAUGUUCUCAAAAACUCAAACCUUUAUCAACAUAGAAUUGAAUCGAAUAUCGUUUUCAUCUUCCCAAGUUUCUAUACAUAAACUAUGAACACGGAAUUAAACAAUACAAAAAUGGUAUUCUUCUUCCAUUGACAUUUGAUAUCAGCUUCAGAAAAGGCAAAAGACAAGAAUAAAGAGAUAAAACAAAAGAUUAAAUCAAUCCUAUAUCCUUGACUGACAUAAUUUACCUUAAAAACUCUAUACUUUAACCAAUCCCACCUAUAUGAUUUUUCUGUUUUCCUAUACAUAACUUAAAGCUUACUUGGAACCAAGUCAUUGUAUUGUAUUUCAUGUAAUUUUUUGAAGCAGAUCCUCAUCUCCUCCAUCUGCAUUGAAGGAAUAGAUGUCGACCGGGGCCACCGUGCAACCCAUGGCAUUCUGCUUGGUUCUUUUAUUACAAAAGGAGCCUCGGUGUUUGUCUAGAUAGAUUACAAUCACGGUGAUAUCGUCGUGAAAAUGGCGCCUUAUCCCCUUUUUUAUUUUCUUGAUGUCACUGUAUCUCAUCUCCCUUUUCUUUGCAACUUCUUGAAGUACAGCUCUUACCAAUCUCCUGGCAAUACCCUGCAAGCAUUCAAGCAAACAAAUAUCAAUAAUGAAAUGCAUUGCAUUUCCAUAGGUUUCAUUAGGUUAAUGGAAGAACACGAAUACUCACGGCUCUCGGGUUUUUGAAAACGAUGUUUACAGCAGCUUCAUCACUCAACUGCUCCCAUAGGCCGUCUGAUGCAAAGAUGAGGAAUUGAUCCUGUGGCUUAAGCUUUCUAAUAAGGAUCGUUCUGCUGUAAUAACCGGCCUUUUAAGAGGAACAGGGUUUCCGAACUGCUGGAAGAUCGGAUCUCUAUAAAACUCAGGUUUCUUCAGGUAAACAUCACCUAUAGAUCUUGACACCUGAAAUAAGAAAAACAAAAAUGGCUUAGACCAGCAUGAUCACUCACAUGCUCAAAGAUCAUGUAUUAAUCAAUCAUCUCCAGUUCUACAAUCCAAUGUAAGAUAAAAGCUAAUGCAUCUUAUUCUCUCGAUUCGUGAAUGGAUCGAAGUAAAAAGCUCAACUUGCCUACCAAAGUAAAGGGGAACAACAUCACAAAAAGAGAAGAAAAACAUAAAAACGAGAGAGCAUCGAUUCCUUGCAGUUACAUAAGCCUAGCUUUAUGCUUCAGGGGCCUGCAUUUGUCCAUCUCAUGCAUAUAAGGCAUACUAUAUGGAAAAUAGCAGCAUGAAACAGUACUGGAAAUCAGACCAAAAUAUUCUUGGAAAAGUCGAAAAACUCAGAAUUAUAACCAUUUUUUAGAAUGAACUUCCAUUCUAAUGCACAAUGUAUACAUCCAUAAUUAUACCUCUCCAUCAAGCAAAAAGAAACAAAAUGGUUGCAAGCAAUGCCUACGAAGAGGAAGUUAAUUGGCAACUAAUUCUAGAAUCAACAUAUUGAUCAUUUCUCAAGCAGACUAGUUUUGAACUAAACGAUUAUAAAUCAACUUGUCAAUAAAAUUGUACCUGGAUUAUGCCCUUAAUCUUCCAAACUCCGCGGGUGUAAACGACUAUAUGUGAGUCAUCUGGAUGAAGUUCCUCGACCUCCUUUCGAACUUCCUCGACUCCAACAUUAUGAUCAGUUGACAACCUCUCUGCCACUACUGUGUUUUCCUUAUCCCCCGAAGCUUUCCUGCCAAGAACAGCUCUCGAGUCACCGAGAUUCGCCACGUAUAACACAUCAUUCGAAAUUGCACCAACUAGACAGCAUGAUCCAACCGAAGCAAUUUGAGGCCUCACGGACAAUGAUCGCUUCACCAAACGCAAAAACUCCUCUUCAGUGGCAUUGAAUGCCUUCUUUAUCACAUCUGCAGAUAAUCCCCCUUGUUCUGUAGCAAAUUCUACAAUGAAUAAAGAAAAAAAAAUUUAAGGGUCUCCAUCAAUCUUUUUUAGAAUCCAAGUGCAUGCUUAUCACUGAAAAGUGUGCAAAACAAAGAAAAAUAAAUGACCUGAAAAAUGCCAAAACUUGAACUACACUUACUAAUUAUUCCGAAAAAUUCAAGUCCAGACAACCCCAAGUAGAUACAAAUUUAGACAAAUAGUUCAUAUUCUCUUUUCCCAUCAAAACAUAGUGCUACAUGACUGUGGAGCGGGGCAAGAUAGAUAUUGUCAAAUUCAUUACUGUUCCAUUGCUGGCAUGAUCUGCCUCGACCCCACUCUGCUUCGCCAUAAAUGUUAAAACUUGAAUAUCAUUACUUUUAAUAUGCAUAAUCUAUCAAUACCUCACCUAAUAUAUACAUUUUUACUCGUUUUAAAAGUUAAAUAUAUAAGAAUAGAGCAAAUAUCAAAAUUAAGUGCCCCAUUGGUCCCUCUUUUACUGUUAAAAAUUAGAAAAAGAAAGUCUAUUUGGAGUCAUCAGUUCGAAAUCUAUCAAACUAAAUACAUAUUUGAUGAUUCCAUAGACAACUUAUGAUUUUCCUGACAAGGUCAUAUCUAUAUACAUACAUGAUCACAUGUUCAUUCAUGUCAUACAUACAUAGGAAUGUUGAAAUAAAGAGGGAAAAAGGGAAUUACUGUGGAGAAAAGGGAAGAGAUGUUUGUUAACAAAACGGGAAGCUUCCGGACCGCCAUGACCAUCGUAGACGCCAACGUAGGUAGCAAAAGGAGAGGUGAAGACUUGGCUUUGAUCUUCGAGACAGUUGUUAGCCUGCACGACGGCGAUGGAGAAAUCACCGGAAGCGUGGGGUUUAAGGUCAGCGUGCCACAUGAGAGCAUCCCCACCAGCUCUAACGCCAAGACAACGUUCGAGCGGCCUGGAAAGGGACCGUAACAUCAUCAUCAUCGUGUUUAAAAAAUAAUAAUAAUCCCUUUAUAGGGGAUUUGAUUAAAUGAAAACCUUUUCGAUGGUUUCAAUGGGGGGUUUCACUUUGGGGGAGAGGAAAAUGGAAAGAUAUUAAGAGGGAAAGAGAGAGUAGAGAGUGGGGUAAAGUGAAUGGAAAAGAAAUGCCGCGUAAAGAGAGGCAGAUGAUGAUGACCAACGACCCCCGAUGCUUGCUGUAAUUACUUCCCACUCUACGCGUUAACCACCCUUUUUCUUCUUUUUUGACUUUUAAACCCAAAUCCUUUUCUUUUAUUUUUAAUUUAUUGAAUGGAGACACUUAGGUCUAAUUUAAUAUUUCAAUUUUUAAAGAAUCGUAUCAGUGAUUGAAUUAUGUAUCUACUUAUUCUCGAUUUAAUCGGUUAGUUUAGCUCAAUUUAGGCCUGUUCAGAUUAUUCAACUUAAAAAUUUGUUCGAAAAGUGAGAUGAUUUAGGUAAAAAUAUAUGUUUAAAAAAUAAAUUUUAAUAAAAAAAUAAGGUAUAUUUUUUAAAUAGAUUGAGUCUUAAUAUUUUUUUGUUCAGGCUCAACUUGAUCUGGCUCAAAUUUGUAAAAAAAAAAAAUGUUGUUACUUUGUCAUUGUUUUACUGUCAUUUCGCUAUUAUAUUAUUACUAUUUUAUUGUUUUUGUUUAGAUAUUGUAUAAUUAUUUUUUUAUUGUUGAUUUGGCUACUAUUUUAGAACCAUUUGCUUACUAAGUUGCACUUAUAUCUUGGUGUUAGUUAAGUAUAAAUAUCUUUUAAAAAUUUGUUUUCAAUUUAUUGGGAAACAUUUAUUGCUCCAACUGACCUAUGGAUAGCUCUAGUUCAAUCCUUUUGCCCGAAUUGAUAUAUCAAUUGAUUUAUUGGUUCAACUAAUUCGAUUAGUUGAUUUUAUUUGAUUUGAUUCAAAAACACUAAGUGUUAUUUCAAGUUUAACUUAAUUUAUAUUUGUGUUGAUAGUUUAAAUUAUUUUAAUUUUAAAUCAUUCAAAUUCAACACUUAAUUUUUUGGGUCAGAUCGUUUUAGGACUAUUUCAUAUUAUAAUUUUAUAAAAAGGAAGUUGAACUGAAUAAUAUUUAAGUUUUUGAGUUGAAAUUCAAAUCAAUGUUAUUAAAUUGGGUCAUAAUUAAUAGGUGUACUAGAAUCUAAUUACAAAUAUAUAUCUAUAAGAUAAAACCAAAAAUAAAGGAUUAACAUCUGACCAAGUAUUGACAAUGCAUUGUUAUCCACAAAUUUAAUUAGAUACAAAACAAGAUAAACACUGUAAUGUGAAUUUCGUAUGUUAACUUAACGGUUAGGAUAUUCAUCGCUUCAAAUGUGAUUUGGGAUUGAGUCACAUUAUCUCUAAUAUGUCCUCUACCAAAGAAAAUGGAGGACUAAAGUUUGAAAUCUUAUUUAGUAUUUACAGCCAUGAUCAAUUUCUCUUUAUGAUCUCCACCCAUACAAUAAAUGUGAAAAGUGUAGCAGUACGAAUACCAUGUUUUUAUAGGGGCCGCCAUUCAAGAAUAUAUUACUUCCUCUGAACCUGACACUAAGGCAUGGAUAGCAACUUACAAUGUAUCAAAUUAAACACUAAAAUUAAACUCAUAUAUCAAAUUGAGAUUUAAAAAAAAACACUCAAAUACAAAAUUUGACAUUAAAAUCAAACGCAAGUACCGAAAAAUAUAUUAAUCCAUAUUCAUAAACCUUUUUCUUUGUUUUUGCACCCGUCAAAAUUCCAAGACUUACAUAUCUCUAAUUAAGAGCAUCAUCAUUUACAAAAAUUAAAAAAUUAAUCCCUCUACUUUAAUUUGUUAUAAUUUGUCCCACGUAAGUUAUAACAACCGAAAAGUUAAUCUAAUUAAGUAAUAUUGUUAAACCUUAUCAUUGAAUUGUUUGUUUGGAAACCAGCAAUUUAACAACUUAUAUGCAACAAAUUAACAAAACUCAUUUGUUCAAGUUCAUGUUUUGAAUAACACCUGGACUAAAUUUCCAAUUUUCAUAUGCUACAAUGACUAAAUUUUGACAAAUUAAAGUAGAGGGACCAACUUCUCAAUUUUCAUAAAGUAGGGGAUGAAAAUCAUAAUUAGACCAUGUAUAUGUUCUAUCGUGUGAGUUGGGGCCUGUUUUAUAGUAUACUUCUACAGUAAGGACAGUCCCCACACGUUCUGAGCCAAGGAUCUAAGCAAGCAAAGUGAAACCUGUGCCCACACGGCAGCUGAGUAAGCACAUCUCCUUCUCCGAAGCUUUCAAGGCAUAUACUGCAAUCUCUUGAUUCCCUUGAUGUCUUCCUUUCAACAUUGAUGUCUUGGCUGCGGAAAAUUUCCAGCGGCAAACGGUCCAGAGCCUCCUGAGUAAGUCCAGGAGGCUUCUUGUUUGUUUCUCGUAACAAUUCGAAUCUUUCUGCUUCAGAGGUUAAUGGGGAACCCCUAGCUGCCAACCCUGUAGAGAGUUCACUUAUGAUCCUAAAAUCAUCGCGCGUUACAUGCUCCCGGUGGGAAGCAUUAGGUGGAGCUCUAUUGCUUCGCCUGAAGAAAACAACAGGAAGAAACCGUAAUGAGAGGGAAAAGAAAAGAUGUACAAAAUGUUUAAAUAGCGGUUAAUGCAGGACCUAACAUAUAUGUGUCCAUUAUUGAAUGCCACGUGCAAGUAAAAUUCAGGAUCGAGUGGUCCACAUGCUUCUCUCAAGCAGUAGAUGGUAGUUAGGAAACGAGUAACACUAAUUCGCUGUGUACAUGAAGUGGUACCAAAAGUGGUCUGGAUAGUCAUAGUGGCUAAUGAUGUUACUACUUAGAACCUAUGUUACUCAGAGUCAGGCAUGAGUUUCAGAUAUGGAUAUGUAUCCAGUACAGGUAUAAUUACUUUUUCUAAGUUUUUCCAUAUAUUUAAAAGAUCCUUGGAGGUCAUAUCCUCGUAUUUGUGUGUCAGACACGAGUGUCAAAUGAAGAGUCCGAGCAACAUAGCUUAGAACCACUAAUAUUACCAUAGAAUAGGAAGCACCAGCAGUGGGACUGGACCAUAUUGAUAGUUAGCAAUGCGAGAACAACAGGCACUAAUGGGCAGAAAGCACCAAUAACAGCAGUGGGCCUGGAAAUUAAGGUACUACUGGUAGGUAAGGAGUGACGAAAGCAAUAUCAGCUUGAAUGUAUAAGCAGAAGUGGGACAGAAAUUUCAAGCAUAAAAACAAAAAUUCAAUCUAUUCAAGAAUAUAUACAUAUAGAGCGAGAGAGAGACUAAAUUCAACUUAAACAUUUUCAAGGAAAAAAAGAAAAAGCCUGCCGAAAUAUGAUGAUUAUGUUAGGCAAUUCCAUAGAAGAAAGUUCAAAUUCACUAGUGACAACCCACCCAACUGACCAGCUGAAAAGUCCAUGGUAAGUUGGAAAAUAGUUUGGACCGAGUGAAAUUAGUCUCAACAUUAACUGGCUACAACCCCUAACAGCUCUACCAUAUGAUACGGUAUCUCUAUUCUUACUGCUAAACCAAGUCAGACUCCUAGUACCCCUAAUACAAGACUACAUAUUUAUCAUUUGGAUUCACUAAUAAUAAGGUAGCACAAUGAACUGCAAGGCACUGAUUCUUCCUACAGGUUACGAUGCAAAUUGCUCAUAUGAUAGACACUUCUUUUGAUCAUAUUGCACCCUCAAUAGAUCCACAAAAUCAAAGUUCAAGAGCAAAAUCAUUCUGAAUUUAGGUAAAACUUUCACAGACACAGAGCUCCACAUGACUUGUCUAUCCUAUCAUCAAACUUCAGAAAUAAGUAAUAGAGAAGAGAUGUGCUGUGCUGUGCUGUCUUUAAAAAAUGAAAUUUGUGACAGACCAAGAAUAGUGGGAUAAAUUUGGUCCAACUUGAGUAGCAAAACAAAUUGAGUGCCACAGGCAAGUUCACCAUCAAUGAUAAAAGUGGCUUCCAAUUGGUGUCAAAGAUCAUGCAGAUAAGAAAGAACAUGAUUCAAUAGCUAUUAUAAUUUACUUGUUCUUGCAGUUUGACCAGUAAUAAUGCUGUACAUAAUACAUGGACAAGAAAUGCAAAUACUAAAAGUUGCAAAUUUGCAGAGAGCUCUAGGUAACCUGUUUGCAGAAACAGACACGCCUCUUAGUCUUUCAACAAGCCUUGCUCUUGCAAGCAGCACAGCUCCAGGAAGCCUCUCAUUUGCUCUCAAACUUUGCCUGCUUGAACUGCUUACACCAUCUGCAUUUAAUCCAUAGCUCGAACUGAGCUCACCAGUACCUUCAUCAAACCCUUCUCUAGCAAGCCUCUCACUUGAUCUCAAACUUUGCCUUCUUGCAUUGCUUACACCGACUGCAUUUAACCCAUUGCUCGAUACAAGCUCGCUGGUACCUUCAUCAAACCGCACUGAUGAACGCUCCUGAAAAAGUAAUAUCCAAAUAUAAGCGAUUCAGGCAAGGAGAAAUAAAUUACAUAGACUAGGUAAUAAUAUCAAACUUCCUUGUUUAUUCUUGUAUAUGUGGCAAAAUCUUACUGCAAGUGAGCUUAGGCUUUGCUUGGUACCAAAGAUGGAAAGGAUGAACAUGGAAAAUUUGUUCAUCAAAUGUUAAGAUUCAUAUCCACCUUAUUACUUUGUAACUUAACCAUCAGAUAAACAAUUUUCCAAUUCACUCCUUUCCGUCGUUCAUAACAAGCAGAGCCUUAGGGUUUAGAAAAAUUGUCAAGAAAAUACCUAUUCUUCAGUAAUUUCACUGAUAAAUUUAGCUUAAAACUAAUAAUUUUCAGAGCAAAGUUCAGUAUUGAAGCAUAAAACAGACAACGAAUAAAGUACCAAUAAAUUGGUUGAAAAUCCAAUUCUUAAAUUAAAAAUAAAAAAAUAAAUAUAUUUUCCCUUCCAAAAAUAAUACUUAAUUCACCCCCAUUUUUCCUUUAAGUUCUCUUUUUUCUCAGCAAUAAAAUAAAAACAAAUACCUAACAAGAAAUAAAUAAUUUGAAAAAAAAAAGGUAAAAGAGAAAUUGAGCGCACAGAGAGCGAGGAAGCACGGGAGCUGAAGUGGCGCACGUGGGGAGACCGGCGGAGGGAAUCACCGCCGUCCAAAUCAUGCCUCUGAUUGUGAUGACUGAGAUGAUUCCGGCGAUGGUAAUUCCGUUCAAUUGAGGACCCAAUCCCUGAAUCCGGAUCGGGUCGACCCACUCUUGACCUUCGUGUGUAGAAUAACUCCGAAGCGCUUGUCAUCCAACUAAAACCCCCAAAUGGUGUUUUGAUCUGAUCUUACCAAUUAAAAUUUAUUUUUAAUUUCUCCAAAAAAAAUUUAAAUAAACAUGCAAAUUGUAAUUUGGAUUAAGAAAUAAAGGAAGAGAAGCUGAUGAACCCUACGAAGAAACGCGGGAGAAAUUCCUGCGAAUGAAAAUCGAUAGCCUUAGCUUCAAAGGAAAUGAAUGGAAAGGGAUGUGCGUUUUUUUAACCCUAAAUGGUUUAAUUCCGGUUUUAGUCCCCCUCCUAAGCUAAAAUGUAAUAUUUAAUCUUAUAUUUUAAUUUUAUAUACUUUCGUCUUUGAUAUUAAAGAAUAAUAUUUGAUACACCGCAAAUACAUUAUCAUCGAACAAUAACAUGAUACUUGAGUAUAAACAAAAUUAGUGAAAGAAUUAUCAAUAAAUAUUAACAAUUUUAUUUAGUUUUUUUUUUAUUUUUAAAUUUCACAUUUCGAAUUUUAGAUAUAUUUAAAUAAAAUUAUUAAUAUUUAUUUAUAAGUCAUUCAUUAUUUUUUAUUUCAUUAGCAUUGAGGUGUCGUGUUAUUAUUCAUUAAUGGUUGACGAUUUAUUUUUAUUAAUUUUUAUCAUUAUAACGAUGAUGUGAAAUCUUUUAUUGACAAUUUUGUUAUGGUCAAGGUAGCCAUAAUAUAUGUUUUUUAAUACAAAUUCUGGAUAAUAAUUAGUAAUAUUAAGAAAGUAAAAAAAUUAAAUCAUGUUAAAUUAAUCGAGGUUUAAGGGUGUAAAAGCUCUUCAAUUUUUUCAAAAAAGCAAUUAAGUCUUUACUUUUUUCACUCAAUUGAGUACUUUAACUUUUAAAAUGCAUAAAAAAGGACCUUCAAACUUUUUCAAAAAAAAUUAAGCCCCUACUUUUUUUUACACUCAAUUUGGCACUUGAACUUUCAAAAUAUAUAUAAAAAAAAACCUUCAAGCUUUUUCAAAAAAAGCAAUUAAGCCCAUACUUUUUUUUUACUCAGUUGAUUGGGUAAUUAAAUUGUCAAAAUGCAUAAAAAAUAACAUUUGAUUGUUAACUUUAACAGUUAACCGUUAAAAUUAACUGCCCCUAAUUUUUUUCAAUUAAAAUCAUCCCGUGUCACAACCACAACAUGACAUAUGACAAAACAAUUAUAAAAAAUAAAAAUCAAUACAAGUUAUAAAAAGUAUUAAACUUUAAUAAAAAUAUAAAAUUUAUUAAAAUUGUAAAAUUUUAUAAAAAUCAUAAAUAAUUAUAAAAUGUAUCAAAAAGGCCCUUUAACCAUCAAUUUUUACCGUUGACUGUUAAAGUUAACGACCCCCAAUUUUUUUCUAAUUAAAGUCAUCACGUAUCGUAAUACAGUGUGGCAUGUGGCAAAAAUGAUAAAAAAAAAUAAAGAACAAUUAAAGUUAUAGAAAAAUUAUAAAAUGCUUGUUUAAAAAUUAUAAAAUACUUCUUUUGGUACGAUAAUUUUUAUAUUUUUUUAUAAAUUUUAUAUUUCUUUACAUUUUUUUAUAAUUUUCUUACAAUUUUUAUAAUUGUUUAUGAUUUUUAUAAUUUUUUUUCUAAUUUUUAAUAUUUUUAUAUUUUUAUUAAAAUUUAAUGAUUUUUUAUAAAUUUUAUUUAUUUUUAAUUUUUAUCAUUGUUUUGCCACAUUUCACGCCAUGGUUGUGACACAAGAUAACUUUAACUGAAAAAAUUAGGGUCAGUUAACUUUAACGGUUUGAUUAUUAAAUUUAACAAUCAAAGGGUCUUUUUUUUAUGCCUUUUGGCAGUUCAAAUACCCAAUUUAGUGUAAAAAAAAUAAAGGUUUAAUUGAUUCUUUUUUUAAAAAAAAAGUUUGAGAGUCUUUUUUGUGCAUUUUGACAAUUCAAGUACCUAAUUGAGUAAAAAAAAAGAACAAGGGUUAAUUAAUUUUCUUGAAAAAAUCUUGAAGAUUUUUUACACCCUUAACCCAUUAAUCAACCAACUGUGUCAUUGAAAUUUGAUGAUUUGGGAAAAUAUCUUGUGAAUAUCAAUUAGAGAAAUUAAAUCUGAAUUUCAAUAUAUUAGAGGGACUAAACCCAGAAAUUUACCGUGAAAAAGAAAAGGUAUAUCUUUAUGUGUUAGUUGAAGGACUAGUAUUUAGAUGUAGCCACGCGUUAAACAAAGUGUUCCAUUACAUCAACAUAGAAUUUAUUUUCCUUCAAUAAGAUUUUUUGCGUUGACUGUUGACCAUGGAAAAACUAUAAAUCAAAUUAUUAAUUGAAAAUGAUAUAUAUUCCUUCAAUGAGAAUCUUUUUAUUACCUUAAGUCGAGAAUUUGAUUCUCACCUUGUAUAUGGAGUAGUUUUAGAACUCGUAACUUAAUAUCUACCUCUUAAUAGACCUACAGAAUAGAAAAGAUUAGUUACUAUCUAACUUCAAUAAAUACAUUGAAAAAUAAAAAAAAUCGAUAUUAAAUGAAAUAGACAUAAUAGAUUUCUAAAGUCAACUUUGGUCAAUAUAAAUAGAAAAACUAAAUGAAAUUUGGUUUAGGUAAAUUUUGGGUUCAGAUUAAAUUUAAAAUUUAGUUAAUUUUUAUUUAAGUUAAUUAAGUUUGAUUGUAAUUUUUGAAGGUUUGGUGAUUGGGAUUUAGAUUAUUUCGGGUUAUAAUUACUUUGAGUUUAAGACAUUUUAAGUUAUUUAUUCGGGUCAUGUCUAAUUAUUUAUUUGAAUUGUUUCAAGUUUGGAUUAAUUUGGGUCGAUUUCAUAUUUAGGUUAGACAAAUCAAUUUUCAAGAUAUGAACUAGAGUUGUCUAUAAGCCAAGUCACCUAGUCUGGCCCGAAGGCUCGUCGGCAAAUAGGAGGAUUUUAACAAAAAAAUAUAUGUCCAAAAAUGAGAUUGGACAAAAAAUAAGGCUCGUUUUAAAAAUGGGUCGAGCCUCGGGUAAGGUAUUUUUUUACCCUGGCCUGACCUAGAUUUUACAAUAAAAAAAUUGUUGUUUUGCUACCAUUUCACUAUUAUGUUGUUUCAAUUUGUUGAAAAAUAUUUAUUUUAAUAUUUUUUGUGUAUUAUAUUUUUAAUUUUUUUUUAUAUAAAAAAAUUAAUAGUGUCAGACCAUACCCGGGUUUUAGUAUUUUUAUCCAAGCCAGGCUUGGACAAAAAUUUAAGCUCAUUUUUUUGGGCCAAAUUGGGCCCAAAAAUUUAUCAGGACCAACCUAAUUCGACCAUGGACAAGUUUAUAAAAUAGCUAUUUAUAUAUAAAAAAAAAAUUGUCCAUGAGCUAUUUACUAUUUAGAGUAUUUAAAUAUGUCGAUUGAGAUUUAAUUCUUUUUAUUUUGAGAGGUGGAAUAAAAUAAUUCAAUUAAAGUGUAAUGAUGAUAUACCUAUAAUGCAUUAUAUGUCCCAUUCUUCUAUCUUUUUAGGGAGUCAAUGAUUAUUUAUAGCUAUUAUCUUUAUAUCAAAAAAACAAUUCGACUCAAUAAUUAACUACUUUUGCUAGAUUGAUUUUUGAUUAGAUUAAUAUGUUUUUAGUCAAUUUAAAUUUUAAAAAUUUUCAAAUUAUUUCAAUUUCGAUUAGUUUUAACUUUAGAUCAAUUCUUAUUCAAUUAUAUUUUAGACUCAGAAUUAAAUGGAUCGAAUUAUCAGAUUUAAUGAUUUGUAUGUAAAAUUUUAUUUAAAAUAUUUUAAAUACCACUCUAACACAAUUACAUAAUUCAUAGAUUAUAUAAUUUGAAAUUAUCAUUACACACCACCAUUGAUAAUUUCAGCUUGUAAGUCCUAAUAUUUUAUUCAAAUUUCAUAAAAACCCUUCCUUAUCUCCAUGACUAAUUUUGUUUGAUCAUCACAUAUUUGCAUGGGAAUAGUGGUCAUCAUGAACCGAAGACUCCGGUUUAUCAACACCGUCGACGCUUCGAACCCAGAAACUUGAACCGAAAGAAGCCGCCCGGUCCGGAACGUCAUCCAUCACCCAUUCAUGGCCUUUCGGGAAAUAUAUCCCACUCUUUGGAUGUGGAACCCAACUCGAUGAACUUUUUAUAUCGUCGUUACUCUUGCACUUCUUAUUGAUCUCCCGAUCUGCGCCUGCAAUUUUGCUCAAUGGUCGCUCAACGCGUUUUGCUUCCCUACACCCGAAUAAAGUUUCCAAAAGUCAAACAUAUUUAUUAAGUUCAUAAUGAUUUGCCUCUAAAUUUUGUACUUUUGUAUGGUUUUUUUUUGGUAAAAAUUUUAAUUUUUGGCUUUUCUAAAUACAAAACAAAUUUCAAAUUUCAUUUUUGACCAAACAAAAACAUCUCAAAAUCAUGGCUCAAACUUUAAAACGAUCCCUAAAUUUUAAAAUGUUCUAAUUGAAUCUUUAAAAAUAAAGUAUACCUAAAACACGUUUUAAAUAUGCUCUACAUCAAACAUAAACUAACAUUUAACACCCAGAUAGACAGCGAGAGUGACAAAAAAAACUUGGUUAAUACGAUACUAAUAUUUUUAGGACCCAAUUAAACCAUUUUAAAAUUUAAUGACUAAUUUAAAAUUCAUUCUAUAGAUUAAGAAAAUCUGUUGUAAUCAACCCAAAUAAUAACGACAACAUUACGUACCUUAGCAUCAAAAUCUUGGUUUUGGUAAAAGCAGCUCUUCCCAUGCAAUGCAGCUCUUUAAAACCCCUCAAAAAAGGACUCCAAUGCAAUUAUCUAGGACUUGAUCGUUUGUUUUAUAGAAUGCUUUCGAAAGUGCAGUUUUUGUACUUCAAAUUGUAUCCGAACGAAUGAAUAAAGGUUUGACGAAUAAGUUCGAUUGUGAAGGUCCUAAGAAAAUUAAAAUUUUAGAAUAUUAUAUUUCGGAAUUUCGUCUUUUUAUUUUAAGAAAUUUAAUCAUUUUAUAUUUUUCGGAUUUAAGUAUACAGGUCCAAUUAUUAUUAAAAGUGAUUCGACUAAAAAAUUAAAAAAUAUUUCGAAUUUCAAGUUAAUUGAAUUGAGUUAUUCGAUUUUUUCGAGUCAACUAGAAUAAGUAAUUCGAGUUCGAGUCGAGUUGAAUUUUACAAUUCGAAUAACAGAUUAAUGUGAAUACCCAUUUGAUCCCUGUCAAUUUUAAAAAUAGGUAAAUUUAUCUCUCAACAAAGUUUACAAAAAAAAAUCAAAAUAAUUUUCAAAAAAUUUUAAAUAUAAUUUUUAAAAUUCAGAAUAUUUAUAAAAUAUCAAAAUUGAUAUUUAAAAAAUUUAUAAAAAUUCUAAAUAUAAAAAAAAACUUAAUUUUUUUAAAAAUAAUAAUUUUUGGAAAAUUUAACUAUUUAAGUUUAUCAUACUAAAAUAUCUUCUUCUUUUUUUUCUUAUUAUGCUUUGAAAGAAUUUUCAAAUUUAUAUGUUCUAACAUUGAAUUAGUUAUAUUGUAACAAUAUUUUAAUUUGACAUUUUUUUUUAAUUUCACUUGAUUUGGAAAAUAUUCAAAUCGAGUUAGAAUGAUAAAAUGGGACUCGUCAACUCGAUUAACUCAAAAGUUUUUCACUUGAUUCGAUCGAAUGCUCACCCCAAACUAAUAUCAUAAAAAUUCUUUUGUUAAAUUUAGAUUCGUUACAAUAUUAAUUUUUUUAUUUUAUGACUAUCAAAUUUGUUUUUUUUUUCUUUUCAUUUCAAGGUGUCACAGUAAUGAAUUUAAUAGAAUAAUUUUAACAAUAUUAACAAUUAAUUUUUUUUUGACAUUUAAAAAAUAAAGAAACUAAAUUCUUAAAAAAAAAACCAAAUUUACGAAGAAUCAAAUUGGAAAAUAAAGAGAUAAAUAUAUAUUUUUUGGUGCUUAUGUUUAUCUUUGAUUUUAAUUUUGCUAUUUAUAUAUUUUUUUUUCAAAUUGGUACUUAUGUUGUUUUUAAAUUACACAAAAUGGUAUCAAAUUUAUUAUCUGACGUAUGGAAUGAUGAUGUCAUAAUAACAUUUGGGAAAUUAUAAAAAUUUAUAAAAAAUAUGUAUUAAAAAUUCAAAAUAUAAAAAAUUAUAAUGUUUGAUACCAAAUAAAAAUAACAUAAAAAUCAAUUUUUUUUAUAUAUUUUCAUAUUUUUAUAAAAAGAGUAUCAUUUUUUUAUGAAAAUAUAAAAUCAAUUAUUUUUAAUAAAAAUAACUUUUUUAUAAAUUUUAUUAAAAAUUUAUAUCAAAAUCAUGAAAAUAUUCAUCAAGUCACAAAAAAGAAUUACAAUUUCUUACCCGAAAUAUAUAUUUUAUAUUUCCAGAAUUUUUUAGAUUUUUUUUAUUUAAUUUUUGGAUAAUGACAUCAUCAUCAUCACAUAUUAAAUAAUUAUUGGACCACAAAAUAAAAGUUAGCAUCAUUUAACUUAGGUACCAUUCUGUGUAACAGUAGUCAAACGUGGGUACCAAUUUGAAAUAAAAAAAAGGACCAAAAUGAAUAUUAAGAUCAAAUACAUGUACUAAAGAAUAUAUUUAUUUUUUCAUUAAAAUAGUUUAAAUUAAAUUAUUAUUUUUUGAGAGAAGUCAAAAAUGAAAAUUUUCAUUUAAAAAGAAUUAAAAUAUUAAAUUUUAGGAGGGUCCAAGGAACCAAAGCCUCUAACUGCCGUUAGUUUGCCAUUGUCAUUAUCAAUUUACUCGCCCUGAGAGGAGUUUAGCGGCGAAGCUUGGGGAUAAUUUGUGGCCUUGACCCUCUUAAAUUUAAAUAAUUCAAUUUAAUCUCUUUCAGCCCAUUUAUUAAGGAGAGGUCAACUUCUUUAAGAAAAGUUUAUGAAGUAUGAUUCAUUAAAAGCUAGCGAACAUCCCAAUAAAUCGAUAUUAUUUCAAUUGAAUUUUUUAUCUCCCAAUUUUACGAAGAAUUAAUGGGUUCACAAAAUGAAUAUAUCUUAUUAGAUGUCUAAUAAGACAAAUCACAUACAUCGCAUCGCACUUGAUAUCAUAUACGACAUCGAAAAGCUAGUAUAUUACCACUUAAACUAAACACCUAUUUAUUAUGAAAUCUGUUGCUUCGAAUAAACGAGAAAUAACAAAUUUCUCCCGAAAAAAUCGGCCCCUAUCGUUUCCUCUUUUUCAAAAGUAAAUCUUAAUUCGCUCAGGUGAUUUGGAAUAUUGAGAUUUUUUUAGUGAAAAGAGUGGCAAGUUGGUGUGACACCUAAGGUCACUUUAACAUAUAGCUCUAAAUUCUAGAGACACUGUGAAUCGUUACUUCAGCAUAUGCCUCUUGUUUUUUUUCCUUCUUUCACCAGAAUAUAUUCAAUGCAAAGAACUUAUCUCUUACACAUUUGAUUGUUGGUUAAAUUCGAGUUUUAGUCCCUAUAUUAUACUUCCUUCCUGUUAUCGAUGUUAUACUUUAGUCUAAAUCCAUAAUAUCAACACAACUCCAAAUUCAUUAUAUCAUUUAAACAUUAAAAUUAUCUAUUUAACUUGUGAUUUAAAUAAAAAUUAAAUUAUGGUAUAACCACGAUGUGGAUAAAAAAUAAAAUUAUGUGUUAAUUAUAUUUGUAAAAGAAUGAAAUUUUAAUUAAAACGAUAAAGUUUAAAUUUACUUUAUAAUGCAAUGAUAUUUGAGUCAUUAUCCAAUUGAAUUAGUGCCUAAUAACUCGUAACACCAAUUUAAUUAAUUAUGCACAACAUUAAGUUUUAUUAUCUUUCUUUCUUUAAUAGAUUACAGUCAGUUACUUAAAAAAAUUACAGUUAAUUAUUAUUUUAUAAGGUAAACUAUCAAAAUAGUCAUUUUUGUUUCUCUCAUAUUACAUUUUGGUCACUUAUGUUUGAAAUGUUAAGUUUUAGUCACUUACAUUUAUCGUAUUAUAACAUUUUAGUCACCGAGCGUUUAUUGCCGUUAGCAAUAUAACAAUAAAGCUGAUGUGACACGUUAAAUCAUCAAUUCAAACGAAAAUUUUAAGUUAAAUUAUACAAUUGGUCCCUAUUUAUUUUGAGCAAUUUAUUUUUUUAUAUUCUUUGAAUUUUCUUUUUUCUUUUUUAUUUUCCGUUCUCUUCUGUUUCUCCCUCUAUUUUCUUCCAUUCCCUGUCUUUUUUAACGUAAAUUUUCUAUGUUUUUCAUUUCUUAAAAUUUAUCUAUUUUUUUUCUUUUAUGUACUUCUACGUUAAAAGAUAUGGAGAAGUGGUGAAAAUAGAGGGAGAAGUAGAAUAGAAUGAAAAAAAAAAAGAAAGCUAAAAGAACAUAAAAGUAAAAAUAUGGGGAUUAAUUGUAUAAUUUAAUUAUUUGAAAUGAUGAUUUAACAUGUCACAUCAGCUUACCGUUAACAACAAUUAACGGCUCAGUGACUAAAAUGUUACAACACAUUAACAUAAGUGACUGAAAUGUAACAAUUGAAACAUAAGUAACUGAAAUAUAAUAAUUGAAACAUAAGUGACUAUUUUAAUAAUUUAUCCUAUUUUAUAUUAUAUGAAAUAAUAUUAUAACUGCUAUUUAUUUUAAAAUAUUAAUUAAUAAAAUCACGUUUCUAACUUGGUAGUUAUAAACCAACGAAUUUAGGCAAUAAGAAACUAAUAUUUAGUAGAAAAGGGUAAUUAGCACCUCAAAGACAAAGCCAGUGAGUAUUUUUUUUUUUUAAUCGAAAGCUCCCUUCCAUAUAUAUUUUGAUUUUAUUUAAUUUCUUCGUAUUUAAAUAAUCAAUGGUUUGUCGAUUGAGUCUUAACUCUAUUGACAUAGACAUUAUUGUUAAUGUAGGAGGACGUGAGUUCGAAUGUACUAAAACGUAUUAUCCUCCUAUUUAUGAAUUGAAGAGAGACUAGAGCAGAUAUAAUGAGAACUUAUAAUGAAAUUGUUCAGAAAAUCAAACUCACUAUUGAAUAGGAGAUUAAAUAAUAUAAAAAAUAAAUAAAUAAUAAUAAUUAUUUCGAAAAUAUCUUACAAAAUAAAACAUAUCUUCAAAUCCCAACAAGAAGAAUAUAAAUAAUAUUUAGUUUGGUCAAUCACGAAAAGAACUUAGAUUUUAACAGAAUAUAUUAAUUUUUAAAAAUAAAAAAACCAAAUUUUUUUUAGAAUAUAAUUUUUUUUAAAAGGAAAGAAUAUUAAAAAGAAAACAAUUGUCAUAAUUGAACUACUCUUUAAAUAUGUCUGGUUAAAUUGAACUGUAUAUGACCAUGAGAUCUUUGGUCGAUUUUAAGAGGUCUCGAACAAUUUAGAAGGAGAAAUCAAAUCUUCUGUUACUUAUAAAGUUCACAUUAUUCGGUUUGCGCAAAUAAAGUUUAUAUGUUUAGUUGGACUUUGAAUGAUUACAAAAAAUUCAUUCAUAAAGUUUUAUCUCAUCAAGUGAUUUUUUAGAGAGAUGAUCAUGUAUUGUAAUACAUUUGAAGGAAUAAUUCGGAUUUGACCGUGCAUUAAAGUAAGUAUAGGGUUUUGUUUUUAUCUUAGUUAGAAUGAAAUAAAUAUAAAAUCAAAUAAUUAUAGUAUCAUAACAGUACAUCGUGCGAUUUGGAGACCCACAUAUAUAAUUGCGUGUAGUGAAUUUUGAAUUUGGGUACUUAAAGCUAAUAACUUAUUGAAAUAUAUGGGAUAAUUUACACCAAGAUGAUGUUUGAACAAAAAUUUAGAAGGAUGAGCAUUUGGUACACCGGUAGUGUACUCUUUUUAUUUAAUAAGUAGUCUUAAAAAUUGCCAUGUGUCUCUUUUUUUAAAUAUAUAUAUUAAUAUUUUAUUUUACCCUUAUAGGAUACUCGUCAACCUCUUGACGCUACUUGUGAAGUCUAAAAACUCUAUUGACAUUGUAUUUAGGGUGUAAUAAAAUAAUAAUUAAAUAAUUAAAAAUGACACUUAUAUCAUCUUAAACUCGCUUGUGGAGUUUUUUUUUUUUUUUACUAAUAAUUACCCAUAAUUUAAUAGAAUAAUAUUUAGUACAUUAUGAAAUUUUUAGACUGCACAAGCAAAAUUACGAGAUUGACAAAUGUCCUAUAUCUAAACUUUACAAAUAGGGUCAUGAGGUUAUAAUAGAAUUGAAUAGAGUUUUGAAUUAGGUGCAAUAGUACCUACAAAGCCAUAAAUGUUGCUUUGCAAAUUGGGGGUUUGGUUGGAAGGAGAUGCAUUAUACAUAUUGAGGAAACUUACUCAAAUGAGAAAGACGUAUCUCUUGAGACAAGCUAACCAACUUGUGCUCUACUAGUAUCCCGAUCUUUCUUUAACAGCUCAACUACUCAAGAUAUAUUUUUACUUUGAGUAAAGAAAUUUAUAAAUCAUAUGACCGCUAGAAAAAAAAAUGAGAAAAUCCGCCAACAACUCUCAUCACCUUUUAUCGCUAAGGUCUUAAAUAUAAGAUGUUGAGAUUUGUAAGAAGUUUUUUUUUUAAUAUUUUAUGUCUAGAUUAAUUUUGAUUUUAAUUUAUGAUUAAUUGUGUCUUAGGCCGUGUGAGCAUUCGAAAUAGGGAUAUACAGUCGUGUCCCAACCCGUAUGAGUAAAUUGACUUGGGUCACACGGCCUAAGACAUGGAUGUGUCUCACGGCCUGGUCACACAGUUCUGUGAUCCCUGCAGUGUUGAAAAUUUUAAGUUUCUGAUUUAGUCCCAAUUUGUUUCUAAUGUGUAUUUUGGACCUCGAGGGCUCGUAUAAGAGACAAUAUAUAUGAUUUUGAUCAGUUUUUGACAUGAAUGCUAUAUGAUAUAAAAUGUUUGCAUUUUCUGUCUAUUUGAUUUGUAAACUCCAGUAAUGCUCCGUAACUCUGUUCCGACGAUAGAUUCGGGUUAGGGGUAUUACAGUGUGGGCUCGAACCAAUUGAAUUGAAACACAGAACUAGAAAAAGUUUUCUCUCUUUUUGGGGUGAAAACGAAAAUUCUCUUUUCUUAAUAGAAAACGAUAGAAUUGUUAUUCCGGAAAAAUAUAGAUAAUAGUUAAGAAUAAACUCUGUAUUUUUUGAUAAAAAUAACGAUAUCUUAAAGUUGUCUAAAUAGCUCUAUCGGUGCCAUUUAUUUAUACGAGGAGAAAGUAAAACCUUUGAUGAGUUGUAAUGGUUUAUUUCAAAUAGAAAAAUAACUUCCUACUUAGAAUAGGAGACAUGUGUACAACACACCCUAGUAUUCCUAAAAGGUUGUCGCCCCCUUCAUGUCACAUGAGAGGUUUUAGGCCUCUCUUACAUCAGGUCCAAGUACGAGUACUUCUUAGGCCUUUUUAAUCUAGUACUCUGUAAUGUGAUCCAACUUGAUUCAGUUUUUCUAUUUUCUAAAAUAAACUUUAAUAUUUAUAUAUAAACAAAGUUCUCAUCCCUAUUUUAUCCCUACCAAAAUUUUGAUAAUUUUGCCUCUGGUAAAAUUUCGAGAAAAUAUGUUCAAUAUUUCACAACUCAACACGUUCACUAUAACCGAAUGGUUUAUUUUCACUUUCGGGCUUCAAAAUAGUCCAAAAAGAUAGACUCAUUCUUCCACUAUUUUUUAAGUAAUCCAUAUAGGAUUGCAAAUUUUUAUUUUUAUUUUUAUUUUUAUUUUCAUUGAAACCUACAUUCAUUUCCAAAUGAUUUCAUUUCUCCAUUUUGAAAAAUAACAUAAUCAUUCAUGAAUGUUUCCUAUUUCUCUUUUUCUAUUCAUUCCGUUCAUUUCUAUUCAAAGACACAAUUCAUAUCUGGAUUCAACAAGCUAACAAAGGGAUUGAUUGGAUAUAUGUAGUUGAAGAUCAAAAGAUUUAUAAUUAAGUUCCAGCUUUUUGUCUAUUAAUUAUAAACUCAUUUAGUCAAGAAGUCAUUCCACUAUAAUAUCGUAACUGAGCUCUCCUCAAUGACAUACCGUUAUGAAAGCAACUACACAGUACUUGUCCAAUAACCUUAUCAUAAAUGUGAUACCCUUAUAGGAUAUCAUAGAUCUUUUUAGGAUAAUAUUUGUUCUCCUAAUAUUAUAUUAUUUUAUAUAAUGGUAAUCAUUACAUCUUUCUUCAUGAAAAGUCAAUCACUAUCAAAUAGUGAUCAAGUCAUCUAUCAGAAAAAUGGACGACUUGUGACCACGUUUACUUUUCAUCAACCAUGUAAUGCCAAAGAGAGGAUAUCAUCUACCCAUGUAUGAAUGACGCUACAUACUAAAAAAAUUCGUACAUCCAACACACCAGCUUUUGGUUCCUUAUCUAUUUGAACUCAGGCUUUUACUUAUGUCAAAGUGUACAACUCACACAUACAUAAUCCACUAUCCACUCUGGAUUUAGGUAUGUCACACUAUGAACGUCACAAGUGAAUAAAUCCAUAAACGGAUUCAGGAUGUAUCCUGCUUUGGUUUUGUUCGAUGUACUGCUAGUCCAGUCAGUCACAUCUAUGUCUUUAUCUUUUGCGAGUCAUCCACUCUGAUGCUUAAGACAAGACAUCUCCAAAAUUGGACUUAAUAGACGACGUAUUAUCCUUUCAACCAGUUUGCUCAUUUUUCAUGUAAUACCUCGAAAAUUUCUAUAGUAAAAUAUUAUCCUUGAUAUAGAAAAAUAAGGAAAUAAGUGAUAAAAAGGGAAGUUUUGAGUUAUGACAACAUUGGCAAGUAAAUUAUGAUAUCUUGGUCCAGGAAAGGACUAAAAGUUUUGUUGCACAAGAGUAAAUACUCAAAAACUUGAGGGGUUAAAAGGUAAAUAUGAAAAAGUUUAAAGACCAAUAAUGCAAAUAUUUUAAGGGUGGAAUGAUAUAAAAACUAAGGAAAAUGGAUGAAUUAGGACCAAAUUAAAUAAGUAAAGAAUUAUGAGAGACUAAAUUAUAAUUUUAUCAAAUUAAAUGAUGACUCAAGGAUGAAAUUUUAAAACAUAAUCAAGGAUAAUAUGGUCAAUUAGAAGGAGAGAGAAAUCUAGAGACAAUGAUGAUGUUGGAGAUAUUUUAGAUAAAUUAAAUAAAUAAAUAUUAGUUUAUUAAUACUUUAAAUUGAUUUUUAAAUGAUAUUUGAUUAUUUAAUUAUUAUUUUAUUUAAUAUAUAUAUGUAAGGAAAGAAAGAAAAGGAUGAUCAUUUUUCCCAUGCACUAAUGUGCGAGAAAGAGAGAAAGAAAGGAACUUUUGUUUUCUUUACAAUUUGGUCCUUCUAUAAAAAAUUCAUCAUUUUCACCCAAAAAUCAAAAGAAUUUUCAUAGCUACCAAGAGAAAAAAAUGUUAAGGAGACUAUGGGAAGUUAGAAUAUCAAGUUGGAUUCAAGAAAUGGAAGCUGAAGGAGAGAGAAAAUCAAGAUGAAGAUUGAAAUCAAUAGAACAAGGUAAGAACAUCAUGAUUUCAAUAUAUUUUUAAGUUUGAUAUUAUUGAAAAAGCACGGAAUUGAUGUUAAUGUAGAGUUUUCUUAUAUAUGGACCUAUGUUCUUGACAUGUUAGUGAAGAGAAAAUAAGAGAAAGUAAUGAGAAAUAGUGUAGAGAAAGAAAAUAAGGGUGUUAUAAACAUGGUAAAUAAACAUAUUGCACUAAAACAAUUUUAGACAACAGCAGUAGGUUAACUUUGAAAAAUCACCAUAAAUUUUGAAAAAAGAAUUAGAGGAUGAAAAAAUAUGGAAUUAAAUCUUAUUCAGUCUAUUUUCUUAUAAAAGAAACCGUGUAAGAAAUAGAAUUUUGAAUUAUGAGAUAUAAUAAAUUUUAUGAGACAAUGUUAGAAUGAUUUUGGGUUCCCCUAUUCUAACUUUGGAAAAUCAUAAAAAAUUAAAUAAAAAUAAUUAUGGGAUUAAAUUUAUAUUUUUAGAAUCCUGAAUGAGUCUAUUUUCAAUAGAAACAAACAAGAACAUUAUUCUAAUCUUGUACAAUGAGAUAAUUAAUUUUUAAUGAAGAAGGGUUGGAACUGUCAGACUUCAGAAUAGGGGUAACUUUAAAGAAUAAACUGUACUUAUUGGCUAAACCAAAAAUUCUAAAAAUUUUAUGGUAAGAAUAUAUGUGAGUCUAGUUUUAUGUAAAAUUAAUGAAUCUUAAUUUGGAGUUCUGUAUCUUAAGAUAAAAAUAAUUUAGUGACUAUGACAAGCUUUGAAUAUACAUAUAAGUAAAUAGUGAAAUUAUAGAUAAUGUUACUUAUAAGCAUGUUAUAUACAUUAAGGAUGUGGAAUGGAGAGGAGGGGGAGGAAAAUAUAUAUGAAUAUUCAGCUAGUAUGGUUAAUUUACAUGUUUUAGGCUCAAGGACUAAAUUGAAUAAAAGUAAAACCUUAGGGGGAAAUUUUGUAAAAAUGUCAAAAAUGACCAAGUUGAAGGGAAUGAAUUAUUUUAUUAUCUAAAUUAAUAAAUUAAAUUAAAUUAUUAAUUUAAGAUCGGGUGAAAGUUGAGAAAAUAGUAAAUUACCAAAAUGCCCCUAAAUCUUGGUAUUUCUGCAAUUUAGUCAGGUAGAUUCGUAUAACUUGAAUGAGCAUUUAAAUAUGUCAAUUUAAAUAUUGUAUUGUAUUUUAUAUGAUGUUUGAAUUGAAUAUAUGAAAUGUAUGGAUGUUGAAAUGAUAGAAAUAAUACAUGUUUUGAAACUACUUGAAAGGGAUAAAAUCUGUUUGAAUAUUGGGUUCUGGAUGGAUAUAGGUGAUUUCCCAAAUGAAAGAGUUCCUGCAUGUGUUGCAGAAAUAGAUAACCCGGACUGUUAAUCUGGCAAAAGCCUUCUCGAGAAUAUAAAGUGGAUAGGAUUCGUUCCUGAUUCACUAUAAUACCUCAAAGUGGAUAGGAUUUGUUCCUGAUUCACUAUGAUAAUUUAAAGUAAAUAGGAUUUAUUCUUGAUUCACUAUGGUAACUUAAGGUGGAUAGGAUUUGACCUGAAAAGGGUAAUCCUGAUUCCCUACGGUUACGCGAUAUAUGAUUCCUUAUGAUUACUUAAGGUGGGUAGGAUUUGACCUGAAAAGGUAAUCCUGAUUCACUACAGUUACAUGAGAUAUGACUUGAGAAAGUGCUUGAUGAUUAAACAUCCUAAGGGUUAUUUCUGAAUAUGAAUUUAUGGAAUAUGGAAAUGUACGCUUUGAAUGUACUGUUGAAAAAUCCAUCCGAACUCCAAUGAUCUGAAUAUGAAUUGAUGGAAUAUGAAAAUGUACGCUUUGAGUGUACUGUUGAAAAAUCCAUCGGAACUCCAAUGAUUCAACGGAUAGAAUAUUUGAUAUGAUAUGAGAAUUAUAAUAUGAAAAAGAUGUUACGUGAAACAUGAAAAUGAAUACCAAACGAUAUAAAUUAAUUGAAAUUAUUUUGAAAAUUUCGAUAAUACCUCAUAUCCUAUACCGAUCUCGAGUACCGGUAUGGGGUGUUACAUUAUAUUAGACUAAAGACAUGUUUAGGUUCGUUUAGUAAUACAAGUUGUCUUUCUAUACUACGAUCUGACCACGUAAUACUGCUUAAUAUUAGUUAAAUAUUUAGACAACCAAUGAGUAACAUUUGCUUCUAUUUUGAUUUACGUGCAAAAACCAUUUGAGAACAAAAUACAAAGUAAAUUAAUUUAAUUUACGAAUAAUUUUAUUAAUCAAUCUGUUCGGAAAAUUACAAUUUUACAAAUAAAUACAGUACACUCAAGACACCAAAUCUUGUUAGAAAAAUGAGUUUGAAAAACGUAUCAGAAAAUAAAUUUAUGGAAAAAUCAAAGUUUUAAAAUUUUUUCCAAAACAAGAUCUUGGUUAUAAUAUCUAAAGUAAUAAACACUUAAUAAAAAUUGUACUUUUUCGAUUCGUCUAAGAUGAGUGCUUCGACCGAGUAGUCUUUUUCUUUAUCCUCAAGCUCACGUCUGUCGAGUGUGAGCUUGCUUCGAAUCAGAAAAUUUUUCACAAAAAUUACCAGUGUGGUAAUUUUAUAAUUUCUCUAAACUUUUGGGUUAAGUUGUAAAUCAGAAAAAUAUUUGUAGAAAUUUUUUGAAAUAAUCUCUUCAGAGAAUUUUCUCUCUACAACUUUAUCUUGAAUUCAAAUAUGUGUAAAUAAUGACCCAAGAUUCUAUUUAUAUAGGGAGAGUUCAGAGAGUUCAACUAUGAUUAAACUUAAUUACUUUAAUAUUAAAUUUAAUAUAAUAUUUAUUAAGAUAAAUAUUAGAUUAAAUUUAAUAUUAAAUCUUAUUAAAAUAAUCGAAUGUUUAUUUAUAGGAUAAACAUUAAAUUAAAUUUAAUAUUAAGAUAAUUACUUUAAUAUUAAAUUAAUAAAACACUAUUAAGAUUAGUAUUAAAUUAAAUUUAAUAUUAAACUAUUAAAAUAAUAUUAUUUUUUGAAUAAUUAAUCUGAAAUCAAAUUCUCUAGUAGAAUCCCAGUAAGAGCGUAACUCUUCCACUGCUCAACCACUGACGACCAACCGCUGCCGACCACUGGGACGCUGCCGUCGUAGCCACCGAUACUAUAGUGUCCAGUGAUGCAAGUGUGACACCCUUACAGCACCCCCAAUAGGUUCAACUGUUAUCGGUUCAAAAAUUAAUUUAAUUUUACUUGAUCAGAACUAAUUUUUUCAAAAAUCAUUUAGAUUUUUCAAAUUAAAUUUAAAAAAAAAAUUCUUUAAUCAAAUUCUCUAGUUGAACAAUUCUCACGACCACUUAAUUUAAUUCCACGUCGAAUAAAUCGACUCAAUUCAAUUAUUCCCAAAGUCGUAGAAUUUUCUUUUAGUCCAAAUGCAGUCCAAUCGAACAUUUGUUGAGCUAGUAGAGGGACCAAUCAGACAUAUACAAUUAGGCUUUAGUGAUUGCAAUUAUAUCCAGAAGCAUUGUUCCGAUAAUUCGCAAUUACUUAAUUAUGUAGUCAGUCCAUAAGAAGUACCAUGAUUGAAAGCUCCUUAUUGUAUACUCUUUAUGAAAGCAAUUCAUCCAACUACUUUGUCUAAUAACUCGUUAUGUGUGUGUUACCUUCAUAUGAUAUACUUGAUUCAUUUGAGUUAAAUCCGUUCACUCAAUAUAAUCCUAUUUUAUCUCAUUGCCAUCAUUGUGUCUUCUUAAUGAUUAAUAUGAUCACUGUCAACAAAUGACUGUGAGAAAUUACUCGUUUGAGAACAAGCAACCCGUGACCAUGUUCCCUAUUUUUCAAUCCACACAAUGCCAAUGAGAGGAUAUCAUUAACUCUUUAAUUGAGUUAUGAAUUCCACUGUUGCUAGUAAAGCCAUGUCAUACACAAGUCAUGUACCCAACAUAUCGGCUAUGGACUCGAUCAUCUUUAGAGCAUAAGCCUCUACUUAUAUCAAAAUACAUGAGUUGUAUACGCAUGCCAAUGACUAACUCAGGAUUUAGGUAAAUCACACCAUGAACGUCACAAGUGAAUUAAUUUACAAACGGAUUCAGAAUUAAUUCAUCUUAAAUUCAGUCUAAUAUAUCAUUCUACCAAUGAAUACAUUUAUGUCUCUACUCGUGGAGUCAACUGCUGCGAUAGCCAUAACUAAACAUCUCCCUAAUUGAAAUUGUAGACAACAUAAUAAUCAUGCUCAAUAUUUGAAUCAAAUGCUCACUUUGAUUCUUUUACGUUAUUACAAACUCAUUUAGAUUUUCUACUGAAGUAAGUUGUCUUUCUCGUAAUGUAAAUGUUUUUUAUAAUGCCACUUAUCUUUAGUUUGAAUUUUAAACAAUCAAUGAACUAAUAUUUGCUUGUCACAAUUUCGCUAUAAAUACAAAAGAUAUAAUAGUGGAAUGUGAAAUUAACUUUAUUUAUUUAUUCAUCGUUCAAAUAAAUAGAAAAUAAUUACAUAUUUACUACAAUAUGAGAACAUUUCCCAAUAGAUCCAAUAUCGUUUCCAUUUAAUUAUCGUUUUUAACCGAGAGAACAAUAGUAAAUUGAAAUCGGAUACAUGGGACUGAUUUACUCACACAAGUUGACAUAUUUAGGUUGCUCCCACAAGUUUCAGACUAGGGUUGCUCAUACAAGCUUAGUUCUGUGCUGCUCACACAAGCUUCAGAGUAUCUGCAACACAUGUUGGAUCUCAAGUCAUCGUAUUAAUUAUUGAUCAAAUAUCCGUUUUCCUUUUCGGGACCCUAAUGGCAUGUUAUUCGUAUCUUAAUCGUUUAUUAAAUUCACACAGCCAUUGUUACCAUUUUCAUAUAAUUUCAAACCUUGUAACAUCAUCAUAUGCAUAUCAUUCAAUCAUAUAACAAUUUCACAUACAUUCAAUACCAUAUACCUAUUCGUAUUUUUCAAAUAUUUCAUAUUUUACGAUUUAGUCCAUUUGAUGCCAAAAGACAUUAUAUUUAUAAAAAUUCAAAUUAGAAAGCCAAACAAUACAAUACAAACAUAUCAUGAAUUAAUAAAGUAAGUCCCAUAUGAACUUACUUGGCAACAACAACAACAAAUAAUACGUCAAUGACUAAUUCACAAUUUUGUCCUUUCAUUGAUUAUCCUCCGAUUGAUUUAAUUCUUGAUCUAUACGAUAAUUCAUUUCAAUUUAUCAAUUAAAAACACCUUAUUUCAUCCUACUAUAAACAUAAGUCAGUUCAAUUUCACUUUUCGAAUGUUUCCUAAUUUUUUCCAUUUUAUCCAAUUUAGUUCCUAUAACUGAAAUUACCAUAACUUUCAAAUUCGAGCUUCGGUUUCGAAACUGAUCUCAAUUUCAUCUUUCUAUAACCCUCUAUUAUAAAAAAUUGUAGAAAUAUUAUACUAAUUUCAAAAUUCAUACGCUUUAGUCUUUACAUAAAAAAACUAACAAUUAAACUUUACAAACUAGCCCAUUUUCAAUUCUAAGCUCAAAGUCUAACAAUUUAAUACCAAAAACUUCAAAAAAUCAACAAUGGAAACUUUUGAAAAUUUUAACAGUUUUACAAGUUGAUACGUGAGCUAGCUAAAUCAAGCUUACAGGACCUAAAAAUCAUUACAAGAAACGAACUAAAUCGAACUUACUUAUGGAUGGCCGAAAGCUUUGAAACAUAAAACCCUAUUUCUUUCUUUUCUAAUCGUGAAGAAGAUGAAUAUGAUAAGAAAUGACUUCCAUUUCUUUUUAAUUUUUGUUUAUAUAUUUUAAUUAGUUACCAAUUAAUUAUAAUUAACUUAAUUAACCUAAGUUGAAUUAAAGCUAAAUUUAAUUAACAAUUUUGGUGGGUUACAACUAUUCUCCACCACCGAUUAACAUAACAUGUAGGGUCAAAUUUCUCAAUUGGUCAUUCACUUAAUUAAAAUUCCAUAGUGAUUAAUUCGUACCAAAUGUACAAAUUAGUCUUUGUACAUUUAUUAACUAUCUAUUUGACAAAAUUAAGGACCAAACUUUAAUUAAACAUUAUAUUAACCUCAUAAAUAUCAAAUAAUAAUAUUUACAGACCUGAAUAUAAAAAAUGAGGUUCUGAAACCAUCAUUUCCGACACCACUAAAAAAUGAAUUGUUACAUAAUACAUUGUUAUCCGAAAAACAAAGCGAUAAUUAGUACACUAUAUUCUUUUAUUCUCAAAUAAAUUAUUUUGUUUUAAAAGGAUAUACAUUGUAAUGGAUAUCGUAUUAAGAUCAUGGAUGAGGAGACAAUUAAUUGAAUCUAUUAUAUUGGAUAAUAGUUUUGUAUUUAAAAACUACCAUAUAGUGGAGGCGGUGCUCCUGAAGAGACCAAAAGACAACUAAUUAUUAAAACUCCAAAAAAGAUUCAAGUACCUGAAAUUGAAUAUGAAAAUAGUGAAAAUAAAUAUAUCUCAAUAUAAGUUAUGUUAAUACCAGAAAACAUGGAACUUUAAAAUAGAAAAGUUGUUUACAACGGUUUUGUAUGCAAUAAUAUUAUUGAGAUAAUGAAAGAAAAAUGAAGUUCUUGACUAUUGAGAAAUAUAUACAUGAAAAGAUUGGCCAAAAUGGAAAGAUGUAAUUUAAGUAGAAUUAAAUCCUAAAAGUUUUUGGAUCAAUAGUCUAAACGUAUAAUGGUAUAAAGCCAAUAAGGUACAAAUGAGUGGUUCUACAAAAACGAAAUAAGAAAUAUGAAGUUUUUUGCGAAGUCCUGACAUUUAUUAUGAAAUGUGUAAUAUUCUCUCACGGUGGAUGCAAUAGCCUCUAGAUAUCUUAUUAGUUUUGGCUGUUCAUGAAAGAUUUGAUAUGUAUUUAACGAUUGUUGCUAUAACAUUUAUAUAUAUCAGUAUAUACUGGAAGUUUAUAUUAAAAUUCUUCUGAAAUUGUUUAUUACAAUUGUGUAAAUAUUUAUAUGAAUUGAUUUGAACAUAUGUAUUAGUAUACAAUGAUAAUGAUCAACUAUGAUUAUUGUUGGAACUCUUAAUCAAAACAUAUUUCUCCAAAGUUAGUGAAUCUGUUCAAGUGAUCAUUUCAAAAGUUAAUAUUCAAGAUUGGAAUACGUAAAAUUUUGAGAUAUCAUGUAAAGUUGUCAUAAGUAAGAGUAAAUACACAUACUAUUUUUUUAUUUAACAAAAGUUUUAUCCAUUAAAUUUUCUGUUAAAGUAUGUUAAUUAUAGAUAAGUGUAUUAUUUUUAUUUUUGUAAGAAAUUUUUUCUCAUAAAUUCUGAAAUCGUAUAUAUGAAAAUAACUCAUAAAUUAUAUUUGAGUAAAAAUAAUUUUGGUUAAAAUUGUUGACCUAAAAUAUUUAUUAAAAAAAAACAUUUUGAAACUCUUUACAAUCCCACCAAACUCUAAAUAAAAGAUGGAGAAAAACUUACAUUUUCCAUUUUAUUUUGUAAAUUACAGCGUAUUUCAUUCGUAGAUCGACUCCUUCAAAGUUCAAAGUCUAAGAUAGCAUUGGAAACCUGCAGGGCAUACGAAAUAAUUAAAAAAGACAAUUAUAAUUGGAAAAGAAGAAUAAACGCAUCAUCGAGGCAACAACAAUUAUUUGAAAUUUGAAGGAAAAAACAUCUCUCAAAAAGACCCAUAGAUGAAAGGGAAAUGGAAAGGUUCGAAGAGAAAACUAGGGUUGCCAGCUGCCCUUCUACUGUGCUCACUCUCAUUCCUUGCUGGAUUGUUUGUUCCCACUUUUUUCUUUCAGGUAAUUCGUAAAAAUGCUUUCAUUUCCAAGUGUUUAUAACUUGGGUUUUGUGUUUAAUUAUUGGUUUUUUUUUAAUAGGAUGUUCCAAUCAUUAAACCCAAGCCGAGAAUGCUCGAGGCAGUGCAGGAGAAGACGUUUCGUGAUCCGAUGCCAAAUGGAGUAACUGGGGAGAGUUCGAUUGAAUCUAUUCCAUUUCAGGUCAUUUUUCCAUUCUGGUUUAGUGCAUUGACUUUUGAAUGAUGAUGGCUUGGUUCAUCAUGUGAGCUUAGUUGUUGUUAGAUUGGUGCCAUAAUUUUUGGCAGAUCUAGUAUAAAGAUUUUAGUGUAUAGUAGGGGUUGUCUAGUGUUGAACCCGAGACAGGUUUUAAUGGCAGACUUUAACACAAGUUUUUGCCACUCCACUGUGGUUCAGUCCAAAAAGAUUUGUUUAUAAAUGCUUUUUCUUGGGAUACUUUUUUUACUUCAGUUAUAAUACUUGGCUUUAGGAUUUGAUACUUGAUAGCAGUUAACUCAUUAGUUAAAGUAUUUAUAAAAUUGUAGGUGGGAUAGGGCCUUGAGCCGAAAACGGAAAGUCGUAGUAAUCCAUGGUAAAAACCAGAAAAAUUGGAGGAUUGGUUUAGUCUAUGAGUCAGAAUAUUCGAGUUUGCAUGUAUUUGAGAGCUAAGAUUUUAUCAAGGUGUGUUUGUGCUGAUUUAAAGAGGAGCUUUUGGAUAUUAAGAGUGGUAAUGAUGCAGAACAAGGAUUUUAUAUGCAAAUGUUUUACAUAAUUCCGAGGUCGAUAUAUGCUAGGAAACAAUAGUAUGGAUCUUUUUUAUGAGCAUUUCUUCGGGGUACUGCUGACUGAAGAACUAACUUCCUAUGCUUGCUUAUUGUUGAAUGCAGGUUUUAAGUUGGAAACCACGAGCUUACUAUUUUCCCAACUUUGCAACUUCAGAACAAUGUGAACAUGUAAUAGAAAUGGCAAAGGUGAACCUUAAACCAUCUGGUUUGGCUUUGCGCGAGGGAGAAACUGAAGAAAGCACAAAAGGAACUAGAACAAGGUGCCCCUUUAUGCAAUUAUUUCUAUUUUUAUUGUCGGUUUCUUGUUGAUCUUGAGUUG
RNAcentral lists this long non-coding RNA (62070 nucleotides) under Gossypium barbadense (sea-island cotton). Its description in RNAcentral is "long non-coding RNA (GBAR_LNC012156)". The stretch from base 19123 to 19244 matches the Rfam family "MIR7504 microRNA precursor family". Lineage: Eukaryota; Viridiplantae; Streptophyta; Magnoliopsida; Malvales; Malvaceae. The record is from RNAcentral.